CUUUCAGGGGUUACACAACAUCAUUGACCAAGACAUGGUGAAAUCCUGGGAGAUUCUCUAUGAUUCAACUGACAGAUAUACAGAUAGAUGGUUGUCUUCAGGUAGUAAAUCAUCACUGACAAUUUUGAAAUUAUCAUAGUGAUGCAAGUUGCUGUAUCUCUGUUUGCCUCACUCUUAUCCUGCAAUGAUUCAGUGAAUUAAAUAUAUUUCAACAUGAUAUGCAUGAUUGCUUCUUUUCCACAUUGAGACACAGGUAAAAUUGCUUGAAUACUUUGUUGGAUGAGGUUACUUUUUCACAUUGGUGUGAUAUGGGACACAAUGUAAAGUUUGCAAGUGUUAACUCUUUGGCCCAAUUUUUUACAUUGGAAUGAGAUUUUAUUGAAAUGCUACUCUCAAUGGAAUGCAACUCAUACUGUACGUUGGUCAUGUUUGACAUUUUUGACAAUGGAACCAGGUCUGAUCUGGUGUAGUGGACCUGAUGUGGUAUAGACCUGCUUAACCCUAUGCUUGAUGGUCUCUAUUAUUUAGCUCAUUUCGCUUGUUGCGUUCUGGUGGUUCAUCAGAAUUGAUCAGCUGUGCUUUUGAAGAGAUUAGAUGUAACUUAUGUAUGUGUAAUUGAUCAGUGUAAAUCUCUGCAAUGCAGCUCGGGGGUGCUUGGAGCACUGUGCUGCUGGGAACACAGACCUCAUACCCCCUAUAGACUCAACUCAUAGAUCUAAUUGUGCAAGGACUGGAUGUGAUCAUGUAAAUGUCUUAGUGACUUCUGGAUCACUGAUUCCUAGCCUUGCAAAUGCUUACUCUUUCGACUGGAUGGUCUGAUUGCUUGUGAGAAUGGUCAGUCACUUUCUUCCUGAACUGUUUGAGGCACUCAGGAUGUAUGAUUGUGCAUGUGGUCUUGUUUGCAUUAGUGUUUCAUUCAGAAUGUUGGUUAUACCUACCCACUUAAGCUUUACUUGGAAUUAAUAGAUAAUUAUUAAGAUGAGCUUCUAGUUUUGUCAUAUUUAUUCAUCUUGAAAACUCAAAUAGCAGGUUAGGCAUGUCAAUGGGGAGGGUCUGGUUUGUAUCCCUUUGAUCCAGAUCUAGACCCAUUUAAUUUAGUUAGAUCCAGACCCAAAUCUAGACCCUUUGGGUCUGAAAAAGUAAGUCUAUAGCUAGACUCUUAUGAUCUGGGUAUCCAAUGGGCAUCCAUGGGUAUUUUCUGAACAUAUCAAAGUAAAAAUGUAUUUAAAAUUUAUAGAGUUCAUAAAUAAUAUAAAUACCAUCCAAUUUUUAUUUUCAAAUAAUAAAAUUAACAUUCGACAAGUUGAAUGCAAUAUUGUGAACUCAAAGAAAGAAUUAUUAUUGACUACUUCUAUAUAUUUUCAAAGAUUCAACUGCAUCCGUAUCCAAUAUUUCAUUUGUUUGCCUUUACCUUUUCUUCUUUUCUUGAAAAGUUUUUAUCAAUUACAAUGACAACUGGAUUAGUUUUUAAAAAAGAAAACAACCAUAACAUAUAUAAAUAUUUAAUCUUAUUAAAAAAAUGUAAUUUUGUGCCUCUUUUUCUUAUUUAAACCUCAAUGUUGGUAGAUGUCUUGCAAUCCAGCACUAAAAUAGUGAAUGAAAUAAAAGUCAUUUGACCAAGGACCGAUGACAAAUAAAUAAUAGAAUAAGAAGAUUUACAAACACUUAUAUUAUUUUUUCUUUGAUUCAAUCCAAUCAUUAGUAGUCACUAAUAUUUCAACCAUUUCUAGAAGCAAUUUGGCACGAGUCUCAUCAAUCACCCAACCACCAAUACUAAAUGCAGAUUCUAAUGCCAUAAAAUCUUACUAUAUUCGAUCUAAUAGCCAUAAAAUAUUAGAUUAUUUUAUAAAUUUACUAAUAUAUAUUAUUUAAUUAAAUAUAUAUAUAUAUGGGUCUGGUAAGUUCUGGUACGAGUCUGGAGUUGGAUAUGAAUUCUAGAAAACCAGACCCUACCUAAACCCACGACUCUCUCAUAGGAUUUGGAUCUGGAUAGAUCUGGAUUUGAGAAAUUAAAUCCAAACCCUACCCAAUAUAGUGGGUCUAGGUUGGAUUUGGGUAAGAUCUGAUCCAUUGACAUGCCUAUAGCAGGUGUUCAUGGCAAUUAGUAUCACCUUGUUUCACACUAGGCUAAGGAUGCCUUUAUGAUUUAGUUAGAUGCAUAGACUUGAAUCUAAUGAAGGAAUUCCUUAUUCUUAACCAAAAGUUGUAACCUGUCAGAUGUGGAAGUCUGUGAGAGCAAGCAUAUUUUGUAAGCAUGCUCUGAAUAAUAGUCAACAAUGGACGAAGAUAACUGGAUUUUACCUGUGAAAUUAGAUAUCCCCAAAAAAUUAUUGCUUGAAAAUGGAAGAGAUGCUUAUUUAAAUCUCACACCCAAAAGAACAAAAAGGAGAGAAGGGAAAACAAGAAAGAAAAGAAUGUGGAUGGCCACAUCCCAUUUCCGAUUUUUCUGUAAUCACAUUUUAUUUGUCCCUUCAUUAUUGCUUCAUAGAUCAUCAAUGUGUAGCCAUCUGCUGUGAAAGGCUUAUUGUACUCAUGCCUAAUUGAGAAUUCUACCAUUAUUUGUCGAUUGUUUUGAGAUAAAUUAAAAGAAUCCUCAAGUUCAUAGAGUUACAUGUUAGAUUUAGCAAGAUGGCUUGCUCUACAUGAGAAUGGCAGUGCGGGUGUCAUGUUUUUAACAGAUUGAACUGACAAGGAACAACUUGUGUCCAAUCUAACAUGCAUGCUAGACUUUGAAGUUUCUUUUUGAGAUAACUAAUUGCUGUUAUGAUGAAACAUGUUGCAUUGCCUUUUUUUUUGGUUUCUUUAAGCAGAUAUACCUGCGCGCUUGUUUGUUAUUUUUAUUUUACUGUACAUUAUUGUUAUUUAUUUUUUAGGAGAAAUAGAUUCUAACGUUUCAACAAUAUUAUCAGUGUAUAGCUCAUGGGAAGUGGGGAAGCUCCAGUGCUUUUCAUGGAUAAGAGACGAUUUAGCAGGCCAAAUGUCCAGUUUUGUUGUUGGCGACGGUUGGGAGGAAUGUGAAGCUGCAGAAGCAAUGAGAUGGCCAUUUGUUAAAGUUGAUCCAUGGUCAACCAGUUAUCAUAGGUUUCCAGGCCUGACAUUGAAAGACUUGACUCUAUCGUCUGUUGUAUAUGGAAAUCCUGAGGGAGAAAACGAAGAGUAAUUCAAUAUACUCAGAACACAAACUUAGUGCUGAAGUUAGCUGAUUUUGAGGCCCUGCUUGAGUAAAUUGAGGCUGCAGUUUAUGCAAUAAAAGUUCCUGAGAGCCAUAUUCUUCUGGAUGGUGAACUGAGUAGGAUCAUUUCGAUAGCCAGAAUACAGUGGCUGGUUCUAUUCUUCAACUUCCAAAGGAGUAGAUCAAGUGCUUUCCACUCUUCCUUGUGCAUGGCUUCUUUACCAACUUCCAUGAAGAAGAAGAUGAUGACCAAGCCAUUGGAACACAUUCAUGGAAAAACGUCCAAGAGAUGGCAAAUGUUUUACACAUCCAUGAAAAACGUACAAAGAGAUGCCAAAUGUUCUUUUCUCUUUAAUGGGUCUUGCAAUAUGUUAAUAUCCAUGCGCAUGCACAUUUUGGCAAUUGAAACCUAUAAAUGAAUGAUUUGGAUAUUCCUCGCCCAGAUUAAAGUUAAAAUCCAUGGUCUAGGGGUGGAUUAUAUAUAUUUUUUUGCCUUAUUCAAAAUUGUCAUCCUUAAUGUAGAAAGCCAUGAGCCAAAAGAUUUCGAGUCUAUUACCUCGAGCUGCUUUCAGCGAGGAGGUUUUAGUCUAAUGUUAAAAUUGAAUAGCUAAAAUUGAAACUCCAAAAAUUAGAAAUAUGGGUUCAAUCUGCCAUCUUUCUUUCUUAAAUCCAAUCUCUAAUCUUUCAAAAAACAAAUCCCUCCCUUUAAAGGGGCAUAGUUUAUCCAUUUGGUGCAAAGUUUAUCAAAAGAAUUGGGCCAAAGGCUUUAAGCUCUGUUGGUGGCAUGGAUUGCCUUGUUUUAAGUCCAUACAUUUGAAGGGCCAAUUUUAACUUCAAUACCAGACCAGGUCUUAUAAGGUGGCAUAUCUUCUUCUGAAUUCUUGAAUCCAGUAUGAGAUUUUAAUUUUUGGUCUCACCUUCAAAUUAUCAUAUGAUGCGACGCUAAUUGUAGAAUCCUGAAUUAGUGGUUUCCAAGGAUAAGGAGAUAGGCUAAUCCAGAGUGUGUUUAGUUGCAGAAUCCUGAAUUAGUGGUUUUUAAAGGAUAAGUAGAUAGGCUAAAUCCAGACUGUUUUUAAUUUCGUCCAUAUACCACAUGGCUGUGAAAUAAUCACUCCACUCCGUUGCUGCCUUCAAUAAGGACGUAACAAAAAAGAUCAUCACCAGCUAAGGCGAUGACUGAUGAGUUCAUCAUGUUUCCACGAAUCAAACCGGACCCUAUGAUUGUAAUGAAUUUAGAUUCUCGUACCUUUGACACUAACUCGUUGAUGCAACUAAUUACUAUGCAAUUUAUCCUGAAACCCAAAAGGCAGGAAAAAAACCAUCUAAUAAUUGAGCACCCCGCAGAUUGAAUCGUCCCUAUCGGAUAGCUAUUAGAUCUGGACACCAAUCAUGACGUCUGCCUGAUAUAAUCUGUUGUCAUUUGACGUAUACAUAUACAUAUUUUCUUUGUCAACACAAGUUGGUUGAAUUAGUAAGAACGAAUAAUUGGUUGUGUGUUCAAAUUCAACUGCUGGUGUGAGAGCUAUCUUGGUGAGUGAGUGAUUUUAGUCUCGGGUCAUUGCCCUGAUCCGUAGUGAUGAUCGAAUUCAUCCAGAUAACUUUUUCCUAUAUAUAUAUAUAUAUGUGAUAAUUUUCUGUACUGGACGAUCCAGAUCUAACCUACAUUUUUUUAAAGAUGGGUGAUAUCCAUGAAAAGUAAGUCCAAAUUUUUGACAGGUGAACGAUAGCUGAUGAUGUGAAAACUGCAUUGAUGGGUGAUUUAUAAGAAUUCUAUAAAUGACCUAUGGCCUCGGGGGAUUACCUCUGAUCCACGUGGUGGUGAUCGAAUUCGCCCAGCUAACUUUUUCUUAUAUGUACGUGUCAGAGAUAGAGAGAGAGAUAUUUUUCUUUAUUAUACUAUCCAAAUCUAACCUACAUUUUUCUAGAUGUUUCAUGCUUAAUAGUCAUCAAUAGCCAAAAUUAUCGCAAACCCUCCAAUCAACGUACUCAUUAAGGUGAUAUCCAUGAAAAACAAGUCCAGAUUUUCGGCAGGGGGGACGAUAGCAACCUCAUCCGAGUGAUGAGGAUGUUCACUUGAAACGAUGCCCAAGUUUGACAGUCUGUUCAAGAUGUGUGAAUGAGGGGGGUCCUUAAAUCUUCAUCAGGGAACACUUAGAUGUGCUGCCAACGUUUUAAUUUUGUCUUUACAUUUUGUUAAAAAUGAUGUGGCGUGAAUUAUGUAGGCCCCAAGAGAGCAAAGUCUGGGGAAGAGAUUCAACUUUCACUGAUUUUCUUCUUACCAUGAAGGGAUUUGUCCAGUCAAUCGAGAAAGUGUAAAGCCAACUUUUGAUAGGUUGCAAAUUGGUUUAUGGACGAGAUCUGUUUUGGAUAUUUUUUGGGUUAGCGCUAGGCAAAGAGAUAACAUGAACUCAUCGAUUGGAAGAUUACACAAGUUCAAAGCAAAUAAUUUUUUUUUUUUUUUUUUUUGUGUAAACGGGAGGACUCGAACCCGAGAUCUCUUGCUUACACUCCCUCCCCCGUACCACCCAACCCAACCCUCCCCCCAAGUUCAAAGCAAAUAUUGAUAUAUAUAUAUAUUUUGUAUAGAUUGUGAUUUCUAUUUUCUGGUCAUUCUUUUUAUUACGAUAAAAUAUCAUAAUUUCAUUAAAAUUUGUACUAAUGGUAGAACUUUAACUAUACAUUUUCUGGUCAUUUUUAAGUAGGUAGAUCCUUGUAUAAUCUAAAUCUCCAUAUUUCUGUAGUUUUGGAAAAAGUAAAUUAGUGUUCACUCCUUGUAUUUUAUAAAAAUUUCCCUUUUACCUCCUUCCUUUUUUUUUUUUUUUGGUGUAAUGAUCUUUAGGUCUUUUUAAAACAGAGUAAUAAUUCUUUUGAGGUAAAAAGAGUAAUAGUUCUAGGUAUACUAAGAGUAGUAAGAAUUUUACUUAUACGAAUAACUAAAUUAAUUUUUUCGAAAAAAAAGUCUGUACUUGUCUUGUCCAUUUUACCUGAAAAGUACGAACUUGACUUUAUAGAACACUUUUUUGUGAUGUGAUGUAUGUGAGAUAAAAAGGUGAUUGAGAAUAUAAAAAGGUAGAUUGAGAAAUGUGUUUAUGAUGCAAGCGAAAUAUUAUUUGAGAUAAUUUGGGUUUCCAAACACUCUCAUGCUCUUAUGAGUGUCUAGCCAAAUGUACGUUAAAGAACAUCAUUAAAUUUUUCAUUAGUGUAAAAACUAGAGCCACCAUAGAUUCCCAGUCGGCAAAUUAUCAAAGCCCCACGAGAGUGCAAGGUGACAUAAACACCCACAAGAAAGCAAAUGGCCAAUUGUGCUAAAAAAAACUGCCUAUUGUUUCUCUUUUCCAUGUCAUGGUGGGCUGCAUUUGUGUAUAAUUGAUGAAAUGAACUUCAACUUGUAAGAUUAUUAAUUUCUGGGGCCAGCACGAUUGCAGGUAGCAGUUGUUCAAAAAGGUUCACGAUCAUGAUUUGAUCAAAAUAUAUAUAUAAGAUUCAGAUCACGUCUUAUACAUUAAUUUUAACAUUAUGUGUGGGAUUCAUAAAAUUUUAUUCUAUAUUUACAUUUUGAACAAAUAAAAUUAUAUCACAUAGAAUUGAACAAAAUAUGAGCAUCAGAAGAUCGGACAUCCGCAUGUUUCAAGUUUCAAAGAGCCAAAAGGAAUUUUUUCUCUUCAAGAAACACAAAAAGGCAAAAAACCAAGAAUUUCAAUUCUUCUUGCUGCAUCAAUUGAUGGAUUUUAUUUAUAUAGAAGGGAGAUAAGAAUAUCCACUUGGGAUCACAAAAAGGAAUGCGGAGAACAGCCAAAAAAAAGUGUACAAACUACAAACCAACUGGUCCAGUCUCUUUAUUAUGUAUCGAUCAUCUUCCUUCAAUUCACUCGUAAUGUUGCUGUCUUGUGAGUUUUCAGCCUUUGAAGGGUCGCUGCCCAUGCUUUCUUCUUCAUACACUCCCUUGUUGCUCACUUAUUUGGCCUCCUUCCAACUCUCUCCCCUUUGUUUUAUUCACUUUUCAUAUUGUACCUUUUAUUUUCUCCUUUUCUUGUGGCAAAGACUUUUCUUUGGGAAUGGGGUGUCAAAUUCCUCCAAUACUGCUACAAAGAUAAGGGUUCGGUUGACAGGAACCGGUGGGCAAUCAUUGAGAGCGUUAAACUCCUUUUUUUUUUUUUUUUAAACAAAAGUGAAGUUUAUUCGGAAAUCUCAAUGCAGGGGUGGAAUGAAUGGAGUAUGUGUUUUUAUAUGAUAAAUUAAAUAUAAUUUAAGUUUAUUAACAAGUGGAUACUGGAUGUUCUAAAUUAACAUUUUUAUGUGACAUUGUCCUAAUAUAUAAGGGAGGAAAUGUUUUUUGCACUUCCUUUUUUUUGUUAAUCACACUCUUACUAUUAUUUUUAUUGUAUAAUUUUUUAUUUAUUAAAUUAUCUAAUAAAAUAAAUGGUGCGAGUACAAUUAACAAAAAAUAGAGUACAGAUAACAGCUUCGCGCGUAAGGCCACGAGCAAUUGUCUUUUUUUUUUUUUUUUUUUUCAAGUUUCUUAAAAUGGCAUGCGAAAAGUGUCUCAUGAUUGAGCAGACAAUUUGUGGUUCUCAAAGAUAGCACCAAUUUUUAAUGUACUUAGACCUUGUUGGACAAAGUUCAGCUACUCAAUUGUUUUGCCGCAUCUCAAAAGUGCAAUAAUGAAACGCAACACUCCAGAGAGCGUUCUUGGCUACAUUCAGUCGAACAAAGCCAUUUGAUUUCUCAAGCCGUGCAAGUUUCCUUCCUUUCUUAAAUAAAAGCUCAUUUUGAAAAGUUCUUGAGAUGCUAGACUUCUUGAAUGAUAGCCUUAAGUAGAAAACAGUAGAAAGAGUCAAAAAUCUUGAAGCAUGAAGAAUGGGGUAUACCAGGCUACUAAUAAAAAAUAUCGGCAUAGUCUAUAACCACAGAUUCAUGAAAAUGACAGUUGAUUUUCUCAAUUACUUAAAUUAUGGGAAAAUUACUUUGCUUGGAUAGCCCUUUUUUUUUUCUUGGGUAUCAUAAACACGUUUUCGAGUUAUCUUCUCAAUUUUUCAAUAACUUUUUAUUUUAUAUACAUCUUAUCACAAAAAUAUUAUAAUAUUAUGAAUUAAUCUUAUAUAUACUAUGAUAUCAUCAUUAGAUAUAUAAUAUAUGUGCAAAUUUUGAAUUUGAAAUUUAAAAUUUGCUCAUGUUUCAUUCAUCCAAUCGUGAUAAUGUAUACACUGACAGUAUAUAUAAAAUUUACUCAUAAUAUUUAAGCAAAUAAAUAAUCUUCAUUCCAAACAGAUACGACUCUGAACUUGGAACUCCUUAAAUUUCUCAAGCCAUGCAAGUUUCCUUCCUUUUUUCUAAUUAAAAACUCAUUUCAAAAAGUUUUUGUAAUGCUAGAGUUCUCGAAUGAUAUAGCCUAAAGUAGAAAGAGUGAAAAAUCUUAAUGCUUGAAGAAUAGGGUAUUAGGCUACUAGUCUAAAAUGUCUAUAUAGUUUUAGCAUUAGAUUCAUGAAAAUGAUAUAUAGUUGAUUUUGUCAAUUACUUAAGUUACGGAAAAAUUACUUUGUUUGGAUAUAGUUUUUUUUUAAUUCCUUUUGUUGUAUCAUAAACACGUUUUGAAACCAUCUCUUUAUUUUACAUAUAUCACAUCACCAAAAGUAUUAGAGUAUUAUUCCAAAAAAAAGAUUAAAUAAUCUCCAUUCCAAACAGAUAUGAAUCUGAGCUUGGAACUUCUUAAAUUUGCACGUAUAGUUUAUGUAAAACAUUGCGUUCCAGGUUGAGCAGCGAAAAGUAGUAUUAAUGUCUCUUUAUGUUUUGAUAAGAUUGAAAUGUCGAUGCAUGCAUCGGACAUUUGAAAAUCAGAUUGACCAAUUACUUGAAUGUUCUUGAUGCCAUUUUCAUACUUUAGGAAAUGGUCAUACGUAUUUAAACUUGUUCAGUGUUGGCCUUCUUUUGAUAGUUCAACCGCUCGCAAGUAUUUGUGAUGGACGUGGAUGGUUAGUUGAUUUGCUGGUAAUCUGAUUAAUUAGCCUCAUGGAGUCGUUGUCCAUCCUUAUCACUUCAAUCUAUUAUUGCUUUGGGUUUCUACUUUCUUUCUUGUUGUCUGCAGACAGAACGUUAAUUUCAUAAUCAUGUUCAGAGGUCAUGUGAAUAUUUUCUCUAGAAUCACGUACGAAAUCAACAAGAACAUGAGAUUAUCUUGCAAGAAAUGAACUUUUAUUCACAAGAAACUUUCCCAACUUUAUCAACAACACUAAAUACUUCUUGAAGAUUGAGGUGGUAGAAACGACUUGAAGGGUAGUUUUUCGUGUUGGGAAGUAAAUUAGAAAAAGGGUUAAAAAUAAAAAAGUCUCAUGUGAUAUACCUAAUAUACAGGAAAACCCUUUGUGGUUUCAAAACAGACAAAACGACAUCUCAUGUUUUAAACUAAUAGAAUUUGUUAAAUUUAACGAAAAUGACGGUCUCGACUGUUCAACUUACCGGAUUCCAUUAAGUUUACCGGAUUCCGUUAAAUUUAACGAAUUCUGUUAAUUUAUAAUUUAGUUCAAAACAUAAGAUGUCGUUUUGUAUGUUUUGAAAUCACGGGAGAUUUUUCUGUAUAUUAGGUAUAUCACACGAAACUUUUUUUAUUUUUAACCAUUAGAAAAACGUGUGAUGAUCUACACAUUCUACAUACACUUUAACAUCUGGUCAGAAAUAAGAUAAGUAACUUUUCUAAAGCAAAAGAGAUAAUAUGAUAAAAAGAUCAGACAAUUUUUUUGUAAUCCCGAAAGUUUGCAAUGAAACACAUGCAAAAUCAGUCUUAUCAAAUGUGUCCACAAUCUGCCAUUCUUCAGAAGUUUAUGCUAUUUAAAUUGCUCUCUAGAAUUCCUCUGGCCAAAAUUUUAUCUAACUCUUCCGUGGGAGAGAGUCCAGAUAAUUUUAUCUAGCCUUUCCUCAUGGAAGGGAGUGCUCUUUCUAUUUUUGUUUUUAGUUUGUCUUGUAAAAAUAAAUUCUCUCUUAGGGUUUCUUAGUGAUAGAUUCUUCUUUUCUAAAAUCUCUCAAUAAGAGUUUCUUCUCUUCUAAAUUGUUCUAGUGAGAGUUUAAUUCUCUCUUAGGUUUUUCCUUGUAAGAGUUUUGUUUCAGUUUUUAUCCUUUUUUUUGUCAAUUUUGAGAUUUCUCUAAUUUUCUCCGUUUAUUAUUGUCAAAUCUAAACUUUUCUUUUCUUUGAAUUUAAACCAAUGUUUAAUUAGAUCUAACUGUUAGAAAAUAUAUACAUAUCUAUAGAACUACAAUGAUUCAUCUAGAUGGAGGAUAUGUUGGAACUUAUCAUUAUUUGUAUUGAAUUUUCAGAUCUGUUGUAUCUAUUGAUUUUAGAUUUGUACCUGUGUCAUAUUUGAUUUGACAUAUUUUUACCAUUAGUGCAAAUUUAUUGAAUGAAAUGAUCUUUCUAUUAAAAUUCUCCAACUAAUUAACGCAGGUAGAAAUCUUGGUUGUAUUUGGAUGCACUUUAGAAUGAAGUUAUUGUAGUCUUUUUUUUUCCCUAGAAUUAUAAUCAUCUAGCUGUACUGCAUUCAUUGAAAAACUUGUAGAUUCUAUACUUAAUGAUUUAUAUUGCUUAAAUAUAUUAAAUGACACUUGUGCAUAUCCUAAAGUUACUUUUUUUUUUCUUGGCAGUCUUUUGAAGGCUAGGAACAAUACCAAAUAUCUGAUGUGAGACCAGCUUUUGGGUUUGAUCAAUAUUUCUUUACGCGCUAGAUUGACAAAUAUUUUUUAGAGUUCAACACUUAUAAAAGUGUUUAAAAUUCAGGAGAUGAAAAUACUUAAAAUAUAAUGAUAAGAAGAUAGGAUAACAAUAAUCUUGGAAAUUCUAAUAAUGAAGAGUGAUCUAUAAUUCUUAAAAUCAUAGCGUCUAUAACAUUUCUAUUUUUUUUUAUAAAUAAAUACAUGGGAGUUAUAUAUCACGAAGGAUACAAGCGAAAUAAGUGUAAAACGUAUGGAAAACAAUGGACUGCAGCGUGAAGUCACCGAGACGAGACCAGGGGCAGGGACGGUCAACAGAGAAAUCGUUGAGAUCGAUUUUGUGCAUUUUGCAUAAGAUAUAAUUUAGUUUACACACGAUUUAAUUUAUUUUGUAUAAUGUGUAAUUCAGAACAAAAUUUUGUGAAUUCCAUAGAUGAUAUAAAAAAUAAUGUAUAAGCCAUAAGGUAAAAUCUGAAUCUUAAAAUUUUUUUUGGAUCAAAUCUUAGCCAUUUGCCUUUCGGAACUUCCGGCCCCAUUUCCCACCAGGAUAUAUGAUGCAAUUCUGUCCUUGAGAAAAAUGACAAGUUCAUGCCCCAUCACUAGUAGUUUGGAUCGUGUAAUUCCUGAUGCCAUAAGAUGAGGCGUUGGUUGAACUGUGCUUGCCGGCCGACAUGUGUGAGUGGCGACAGAAUGAAACCGUGUUGUUUUUCCAAGUCAAGCCAUGAAUGCACAAAGUCUUCUCACAUCGAAUCUUUUCCUACACGAGUUACAAGAGAUUUUUUUCUCCCCUACCUCGCUCUAGAAACUAGUAGAUACUAAUUCUAGUCUCAAUAAUUUCCUUUGUCUCUUAGCUCAGUGGACGAAUUUCACUUCACGCUGAGAAGACUAGUGGCUCAAAAUAAGAAGAGUUUUACCCGUUUGGAUUGUUAUUUUUCUAAAGUUUUUAUAAAAAAUUAUAUAUUUUUUAACGAGUUGAUGUAAAUGAAAUAAAAAAUAAUUAAAAAAUAUAUUUAUCAAAAAUAUAAAACCAGUGGUGUAUUGCGACCAUGACCCAGCAAGUUAAAUUUAAAUACAGAACUUUGAAUAUAUCUUAUGUACACAGUGUAUAUACUAUCACCGUUUGAUUCAUGACAUGUGUGUACAAGUUGAAUUUCAAAUUUAAAUUUUGUAUAGUUAUCAUUCAUUCAAUGCUAACAGUGUAUGCACUAUCAAUGUAGUGUAAAAGAAAGAUUAAUCCUAAAACUUUUGCCUAAGAAAAGGGUUUAAUUAUUGUAAAGUGGGUUUUGACUUUUCUUAAAGGAAAUGGAUGUCGUUUUGAAUAUUUACUUUUAAGUAUGGCAAAUUUGUAAAAGUAGAUGUUACAGCGACUCGUGUCAGCCGGCAGCUGGUAGCUUUUUUUUCUUUUUGUUUCUUUUAUCAUUUUGCCUUUUGUUGCUUUCAGUUCAUCUGUGAAAUCCUUUACAGUGGAGAGGGGGUAUCAAGAGAACAAGAGUUGAAACUUUUAUAAUAACAAUUUUUUUUCCUAGGGUAUUAUUACUCAGGUUGGGAUUCUCAUCAUUAGAAUUAGAUUACUCUUCAUUGAACUUUCUCUUCAUUUAUUUAUAUCUAAAUUACUAUAAUUUUAUAAAUCAUCUAAUUAUAUCAAUUACUUUUUUUAAUAUCUAGAUCAACAUAUUAAAAGAUGAUAUUCUUUUUCAAAAAUUUUGACAUUCAAUUUCGUGUGAAACAUUUGAAUGAUGAAAAAUAGGUCCAAAUUAUAAUAAAAUUUCUAAUGAUUAACCAGACGGCAAAAUUUCACCAAUUUCAUACAAAGUUUUAUGUAUAACUAACACAAGCGAUGAAAUAUACUCCCUCCGUUCCACUUUGAUAGCCCUGUUUUCCUUUUUCAUUCGUCCCAAAUUGUAGUCCACUUUCCAAUUGAAAAAUAUAGUUGUAUUUUAAUUUUUCUAAAAUACCCUUAUUCAAUGUAAGUUGUUGUUACUACAAACCUACUCCAUUUAACGAGAGUUGAUUCUUUUUUACUAUCAAUUCAAUUUUUUAUAAAGUUGUACUUUAAUUAAUGUGAGGGUAUUUUAGGAAAAUAGUUAUCUAAAUUGAUUGUUCCAACAGAGUUAACUACUUUUUCUUAAACUGUGUUAAAAAGAAACCAGGACUAUCAAGGUGGACGGAGGGAGUAUUAUGAAAGCUACUGAUUUUGGAAGAUAAUUUUUAAAUUAAUUUAAUUGUCUUGUAAUGAUACAAUGGAGAGGGACCUAGUCCAUUGGACUCAACUCUAAUUAAACAUUUCAAUUCCCAACAUAAUCAUGUGCUUUUUGUAUUUGGCAAAUGACAUAAUAAUCCCAUUAUAAGACAAGAUCCGAAAUUAUGGCCCUAUCCUAAUUUGUAAUAUAUACCUUUUUUUACCACCAUCAAAAGAUCUAAAAUCUAUUUGCAAAAGCAAACAGGAGCAUAAAAAAAUUAUCAUCCAAAAUUAAGUGAAAUAGAGCCUAUUAAGUUUUCAUUUGAAUGCCAACAGGGAGCAAUUGUAGAUAUAUUGAUGAAUUACGAUAAAUUUAGCCACCAUUGACAACCAAAAAAGUGAAAAAUAAGUGCCAUACAAAAGAAAGGGACUGAUAAUUACAAUUCGCCGCAAGUACAAGAUUUCAGAUGGGCAAAGACGGGGCAGCGGUCCAGGAAUAGUGGACCACCGUCGAGAGUGUUAGUCACUUGCCAUAGAUCAGUCCACAAGGGUAGAAAGCGAUGAAGAUUUAAUUGAAGGCCCAGCUUGAAACGAGAAAGCUUGCGUGGUCCACUCUGCCUAGUCCAGUCCGUCCCACCCCACCCAAGAGAAAGGAAAGGUGCGUGUGGCUAAACCCUCCAGUCACGUGCAUGCUUUUGGGACACAGAGAAUCAUGAGAAAAGUUGAUCUUGAUGCGCCACCAACAGCUCAUGGGAAAAUCAUCUGUGCACCAUACCCCUUUCAAUUCCAAAAGUAGAAAAUGAAAUAAAUUUUGCACCCUACAAAAAUGAAACAGAGGCAACCAAACAUGGUAAAAAAAAAAUCUACCUACAAAAUAGUGCUCAGUCAACUUUUGAGUAUGUGUGUAUUCGCACCUUUUUGUCUUUUUAAGGAAAGUUCGUGCAUACUCGUUGAUACUCAAGACCACGGGCAGGCAACCGGGCAGAACGGCUGCAGGUGCAAUCGUUUCUGACGAUUUUGUGUAUUUUGUAUACCGCGUAAUUUUGUUUGCACAUGAUAUAACUUUGUUUGCAUAACGUGUAACUUUAGAACAAAUUUUUAUGAACCCCACACACGUUGUUAAAAACGAUGUAUAAUAAGUGAUUUGGAUCGUACAAUUUUUUUGGACCAAAUCCUGACCGUGAACUGUUCAAUGACGGUCUUUCUGAUGACCGUCCCUGCCUCGUCUCCACUUUGAGUUGCAACAAUUGACACUUUCCCUUUUUUUUUUUUUUUUUGAAAAAAGUUUUGAUGAGUUCGGCUCCGAUUACCACUAUCGGUUAGGUUAGGCCUCCGAGACCAUAGGUUGCUUACAAGAGGCACUUACAAAUCACUCACCAAUACAACUCUCACAUCGAUAAUGAGAUUCGAAUACACAAUUUUUUGUGAGAAAGUGGUCUGUCCUUACCGAAGAGUCAAUAACAAUUGAGACUUUCCUGCCAGUUCUAUUUUUUUUUUUUUUUUUGACAUGAGGAAAAGAACCCUCCAAUGAUAUCAGGAAAAUUGGAAUUUGCAAACAAUGGACAUGAGAAAGGCAUCUUCAUGGUUUGGAAACUUGAUGAUUUGACACAUAAUCAAGGAAAAAGAAUGCAGGGUUCUUCAGACUUCGCAAUUUGAGAAGUGUACGAGUAUGCAAUGUAUGAUUUUUUUUGCGUGAAAGGUUGUGUCUACGCGACAAAUUGUGAAAAUCUAUCACUUGUUUAACAUUUCAUUUGUCUACUUACAAUCAAUCAACAACCUUUCUCUUUCUUCUCUCUCCCUCUUGAUAAGCUGUGUGCUUGCCCCACUCCACUCUGUAAUGCUUAACUGAAAUCAUAGCCAGAAAAGAGGCUUUGAACUUCAAUGCAUGGGGUAUGCAACAUUACCUGCUAGGUAUGGCGUUUAUGAUUUAACAGGCAAAUUAACUUUUGAUUGCAAUAGUUUUUCUCCUUUCGGACUCCUCCAAUUCUCUCCACCUAUUUGCCUUUCACGAAAAUCCAACUGUAACUGACUGUGGUCUGACCUCUGUCGUCUAUCUAAGAAGAACGGAAUGUUAUAUGAGAUACUUAAAUCUCUGGGACUAAAGGAUUUUUCACUUGCUUCUUUUUGCAGGGGAUGUAAUUAGUAAGGAUGAUAGGAGCUGUUCUUUUUGACGUCUCGGAAGCAGUAAAUUGUUAAAGAGUUUGCAAAGAAAAGAAAUCUCUUUUCCGGUCUUGCAAUGCCAGUCCCUCUUGCUCCGUAUCCAACACCUCCUGUUCCAUUUACACCACCUGCAACUGGUAUGGUAUCAUAUCCAGGAGCAUUCAUAGUCUGCAAGAGACUUGAAUGGACAUAUGCUGCUUUGCUGCAUAGGAUAUUGAAACAUGUUUUCUUGAAUUGCUUAUGUUGUUUAAGUUAAAAAGCUAGAUGGAAUUUGUGACUUCCAUCAUUUUUCACUUUCAUAGCCACCUACCGAUAAUUCAACUGAAGGAGUUUACUGCAGAGAAGCAUCAGAUUUUGUCAAGUCAAGCACUUGCACUUGAAGAUAGAAUUUUUUUACACAAAUUCAGCCUGUUGAAUACAAACAAGAACAGUAAAUUAAGGCAAAAGAAAGCAUUCUUCAGAUUGACAAUAAUAAUCAGUAUUCAAAAGGUUUUUGCACUUAUAGCAAUUUUGGAACAAUAAAUUUUUCUGGUUUUUGUUCUGUAACUUCACAAAUUUGUAUGGUUCUACAAAAUGAUUUGACUUCAAAGCUUCCUGUCACCGUGAAAUUUUUUGUGCAUCUCUUAAGUAGAAUUCACCUGUCUUAUGAUAUGUUGCAUAUAGUCUCUGAUCCUCAAUAAGUUUGAUGGUUAUCAGGUGCACAGAGCCAGCUUGUUUGUUCUGGUUGUCGAAACCUUUUGGUGUAUCCGGUAGGAGCAACCUCUGUGGUGUGUGCAGUUUGCAAUGCAGUCACAGCUGUACCUCCUCCUGGUAUACUUGCAGUGACUCCCCAACUCAUACCUCUCAAUUUUCAUUCUAGUUAAAAAGCUAACAAAUUUAGGAGGGCUUUUCUCAGUAUCGAUUUUCCUUUAGCAGGCACUGAGAUGGCUCAGUUGGUUUGUGGGGGCUGCCAUACUUUGUUAAUGUAUAUUCGUGGAGCAACAAGCGUGCAGUGUUCUUGUUGUCACACCAUCAAUUUAGCAAUGGAAGGUAAAUUAAGUGAUAGUAUGGUUUUCUGAAGAUUGUAACAUCAUUAAUCUGAGAUAGCAGCAGUUAAGUAUCAUGUGUAUUUUAUGGCAGCAAAUCAGGUAGCACAUGUCAAUUGUGGGAACUGCCGGAUGCUGUUGAUGUACCAAUAUGGGGCGCGAUCUGUAAAAUGCGCCGUCUGCAAUUUUGUGACAUCAAUUGGGGUCAGUAUAUAUUUUGUUUAACCAGCUUUUACAAGUUUAAAUCAUAAUCAUGGUAGGUAGAUAAAUUUCAGGAGGAGCUAAAAAGAAAAACUUGAUCAAAUUGUAAAGCUAUCUGCAGCAUAAUGCAGAUUGCAGUGUAUCCAAGUCCCAGACACUGUGAGACAAGAGAUGCCUACUAAUUGUGCAGCUGGACACUGCAGAUGCACAAUAGUUGGAUCAAAUGAACUAGGAGCAAAAGAUUAAGUUGGUUGAAUAUCAGAAGAUGUUCUAGCAAACUCUUGCUGUUAACAGUUGCAAAAAAUUUUACUUUCCUGAUUAUCCUCCACACAAAUUAUUCAGUUAACCAUAAGCCAUUCACAUUCUUGAUCCCAAGAAUGUCAUAUGGUUCAAUAAAUGAUAAUCAUCAGUCAUCCGCUGAUUAUCAUGAUUGCAAUUAUUGAUCUCUCACUUAUAAGGCAUAAGGGAACUUCCCAGAAAGUAACAUUUGACAUUCUGGCGGAAACACCUUAGUAAGCUCCUCCUCUUCCCAACCUUCUUCACAUGUGCCAAACAUCCACUCUCUGAAAACAGCAAUUUUGCCCUUUCUUUUUCCCCUCUUGAGUUCCUUGGAUCUCUGACCAGCUUGCAUUCUGGAAUGGCCCGUACACUUUGUUAAGUACUAUGACUAGAUUAAAACUUAGUUAAGCACUUUGAGGAUAUAUGUUGGUGGAGGAGAGUAAUAACUUUCAGCAUUGUCACAUGUAGAUAAUGGAACCCUAUGCUAAUCUUAAUACAAAAUAAUCAUGUCCACUGUUUCAACUACAUGUAACAAAUUUCCAUUGAACGACAGGCAUCAGCGAGCACUAUUGAGCAGAAGUUCAACAGCUGAACUCUGAAGUUUUCUGUUUCAAUACCACAAUAUAUUGCCAUUUUGAAGAGCUGCCAGAAACUGCAAAAUUCCUGGAAGCAGAGAAAGUAUAUUUCUGCUGCAUUGUAUAGAGUUCUUUUUCCAUCGCGUGAUUUUGAUAUGAAUAAGCAAAUUUUCCUGCGUAAAUGCACAAGAUUAUUAUCUAUGAAUUUUAGGUUGCUAGCGUUGUUUCAAAUUAUUGGAUAAGAAAAACAUCAUUUUCUUCUAGUGCUUCUUCUAAUUGCAUCAAGCACACGACAUCAGGCUGUAUAUUUCACUUUAUCCAUCUUUUUGAAUUGUCAGUGGGAUGCUGAAAUUAAAUGCUUACACCAACAUAUCAAUCUCCAAAAAUUGAGUUUUUCCAAUUGGAUAAUCCUGAAGAUAGGAAUCGGGUCAAAUGUUCCUGGUGAAAAAAGUUGGAUGCCUGAAAUUAUCCACAUGGGAUGUCUCAUCAAAAAUUAGACCUGGUCUCCUAGCAGGUGAUUGUAAUACCAGUUCAAAACCAAUGGGUCCAAUGGCCAGGGAGAAUCUCUUUAAAGCUCUCUUGUGCACUAGAUCGAAGGCUCAAAUCCCGCCUAAUGCAUCUCAAAGAAGCACAGUCCAUUCUUAAAAUAAUCUAAAAAAUGUAGUAGAUCCUCUAAUCCCUAUACAAGUCUCUUUAAAUUUCCACUUCCUAUAGCCUAGAUUAGUAUAGGAAUAUGAUAGAUGUUACUGUUUGCGGGGAAAAAAAUACCACUUCAAAUGUUACUUUUCCAUACUUUACUGUUCUAAUGUGGUAUUUUACUGUGGUAAAAAUUAAUUGUUCAUCGUAUAGAAAAUCUCCCACGUAAAAGUAUAGAAAGAGCAAAAGACACGGGGGCUCAGAGAGAAAACAAGAGUCGUUGUUUUUCUCCUUUUCAAAGUAAGAGUCAUGACCCUCCUCGAAUUGUUUCUUUCGAAAAUGCCAAUCAAGCGAGAAAACUAGCCGUCUCCGUUUUCUUCUCCUAGUGCAAGAGACAAAUCAAAUCGUCAAAACAAAUAUGGAGCUCCUAAGUAAAAGGGGGGGGGGGGGGGGUUAAUUCCAAUUUGUCCUCCCAAACUUUGGACGAUUACUCACUUCAGUCUCUAAACUUUAAAAUGGGACACCUAAGUCCCUAAACUUAUAAAUAUCUCCCACUUAAGUCCCUAAACUUAUAAAAUGGGACACUUAAAUCCCUAAACCCUUAUAAAAUGGGACACUUCGAUCACCAAGCAUUCAGGAUUUGUUAACAAUUUUCCUUAAGUGAGAGGUAUUUAUAAGUUUAGGACUUAUGUGUCCCAUUUUGAAGUUUAGGGAUUGAAGUAGGUAAUCGUCCAAAGUUUGGGGGGACAAAAUGGUAUUAACCCGUAAAAGGGUACUCCCCUUUCUUUUUGUUUUACGUCUCUCCUUUCCUAAUUACUACUAAAAACUAAGGAAGUUCCCAUAGAGGACAAAAGACUAGGUCGUUUCCUAAUAUCAAUUGGGAACAUGUUUCUUAGGUCUUCAGCUUAAAUUGGGAAAUCGCCACGCGGAUAAAUCUCGACUCUUCCAGACUUGGAGGCUAACUUAGGCGCGACCCCCGGAACGUCUAAGAAUCUUCAUUAAUCCACUUUUACCCCUUUUCUUGCUAUAUGCUUGAAAUUAGCAGCGGUUGUCAAAUAUAAGUAAAAUCCAUCCAAUAAUGCAAUAUUUGGCCAAAAUCAAGGAAAUAUAUUUACAAAUUCAAUAACAAUUAUACACCUUAUCAAUUUCUCUCACACUUAGCCCAUGUUUGCCCUCAAUCAUAAGAACAACAAAUCAAACAAUCGAGUUCAAACAAUAGUUAUCAUUCAAAUUAUCUAUAGUUGGAGUACAAUUAAAACACGUGUCAAGUAUUAGUAGCUAGCCUCCAAGAAAUAUCUCUUCAAUUAACUUUUAAAAUCAAAAACUUUUUCAAUUCUUGGCUAACUAAUUUAAAAAUAUAAAAUAUUUACCCAACAAUCAAUCGGCAAAUGAUUCGACUAUUAAGCAAAAAUUUCAACAUUAAAAUUUAUGAAUCAGCGGGCUAAUGUAACCAUCCACAUAUUUCCACUUUCAUACACAUUUUCACUUUCACUAUUAGCAUAACAUUUUUCUAAGAUGCCCCCUACACUUGAUUUUUCUUUGUUUUCAAUUUUUCAAGAGAAAUGCUUAGUUCUUAGCCAUUCAAACCGUUUGAUGCGAGCUCCGACAUCUACCAAAUGAAGGAAUUUGAUUACUCAUCUUUCAUUGCUUAAACACUAAAUACUCAUAACUAUCGCCACUUUUUGACACGAAAGUCAACACUUAUGGUGAAAACUCCUGGUUACUAGGUAAAAAAUACUAGUGAAGUAUAACCAAAUACUAUUCAAAAAUAAGUAAAAAAAUAAAAUUAAGCAUCACAAGUCUACUUCAUUUCUCAAACAUGGAGAAUUAAGAUUAGUAGUUGAACUAAUUUAUACGAAAAAUGUCAUACAAAUAUUUACAAUGCUUAGAGAAGUUAACCAAAAAGUACAAAAGUCACAAAAUUUUUAAUAUUCACCAAAGAGACAUUCUCAGAUUUCACUACGUCAUACUUGACACAUUAAAACAUAACACCUUAUAAUACCUUAGCAACGGUAAAAAUUUAAAAUGCCUAGCCAUUGAUGAUUACAAUUAGCCACAAAAAUGUACAAAAAUGAAAUGAAAUUCAAAAACUUUUAACAGAAAUUCCAAUAAAAAUGACUAAAAUGAAUAGUAUCAUGAUACUAUACCUCCCAUAUUUAAAUCUUACAUUGUCCCCAAUAUAAGCAAUAAAGAACAAAAGAAUCGAAAGGGAAUAACGAAACUUCCCUAAUCAACAAGGGGGCAUAACAACUAUGGGUAAGGGGCAAAAGAAGGAGUACAACGAACGGAAUGGUUACAGCGCUGACCACAAUUGACAAAGACAAGUGGCGGCGAUAACAUUCAAACUCGGCGACACUUUCCAAAUAGCGACAACAAGGAAUUCGUCGUUUGGAAUACAAGGUGGAGAAAAAAUUGAAAAGAAAGAAAGAGAUAAAUGAAAAAGAAAGAAAAGAAAAGAAGAAGAAUAAUUAGGGUUUUUGGGAAUUUUUUUUUGCCCUCUUGGCGUAACAAGACGCGGGCACAUCUUGUUGCGUUGUAGUAUUCUGAUCAUGGUUUUGAAAUUUUCACGAGAUUUAGUAUGUCCUUAAGACGUCGCCACAUGUUAUGUCUAGUUGUCUUCUGAAAUUGAAAUAUGAGUUUGUCAGUCAGUUAUGCGUAGGCACGCCUUGUCAGGUAGCAGUCUUCUAUUUACUAAAACAACAAAACAAAAAUCAAACACAUAAAAUAUAAGAAAUCUAAGAAAAAUAAUAAAAAAGUGAACUAAAAAGUGAAUUGAGUUGCCUCCCAAUAAACAUCUUUGAUUAGAUAUAAAACAUUAUUUCUCAAUCCGGUUGUAAUUUAAACUUUCUUGUAAUUGGUGAAAUUUCUUUAGAAUUCAAAUCACCAUUAUGUGCAAUCACCUUUUUUAACUUUUUAUCUAUUUUCACAUCAUAAGUUAUUUUCAACCCAUGACACUUGUCACAAUAACUUUUAACUUAUCCAUGCAAUUAUAUUCAGAAAAUUCUUGCAUAGAACGAUUAAUAGCAUAAAUGGCAAAUAUAGAAUGAAAGUUAAUAUGAUGUUUUAUAUUAUUAAAAAUAUUAAAAUGAACUAUUUCUCCAUCAAAUUCUAUCGUAAGAGUACUCUUACUAAUAUCAAUAUUAGUUUGGAUAGUAUUCGAGAAGAGUCUCCCUAAUAUAAUGAGUGAUGAAUUUGGAGAGCUUUUAAUAUCCAUGUAAAGCACAUAAAAAUUAGUAAAAAACUAAUCCAUCUACUUGAACUAAAAUAUCCUAAAUUAUCCUAUUCGAAUAAGCAAAUGUACGAUCAGCCAAUUAAAUUAUUACCCUUGUUACUUUCAAGGAUCCUAGAUUUAGGUAUCACAUUUAUAGAAACUCUUAAAUCUAGUAUGAUAUUUCUAAUUUUAGAAUUUUCUAUCUUACAUAAGAUAGUAAACAUACUUGAAUCCCCGUAUUUAGGCAGUAGUUUUCUUUAUAAAAUCAUUGAGACAUUCUCAUCUACUAUGAUUUCUCAGCCCCUCUCAAUUUUUUCUUGUUGAUGCACAAGUUCUUUAAAAAUUUAGCAUAUUUUGGGUAUUUGCUUGAUCGUAUCUAAUAAACAGAUAUUGAUUGUCACUUUUCGAAACACCUCUAAGAUCUCUUUUUCUUUAUCUUGCCUUUUUGGCUACUCCAACUUAUUUGAAUUAGUGAUGAUUAGUAUUAACUUUAAUUAAAUGAUCAGAAACUAUCUCAGGAGUUGUCUUGUUUAAUCCUUCUACUUCCAACUCCUUUUCAAUUUGAUCUUCGCUCUUAUCCUUCGGAACUGUAGGUUUUGGUCCUUCAAUUUCUUUCCUUUUUUUGAGGGUCAUGGCACUAACAUUCCUUAAAUUUACUUCAGGUUGAGAAGAAAAUCUUCCUUUCUCUUGAAACUCCAAACGAUUUAUUGCAGAUUUCAUCUGACUCAUCUGAUUUUGUAGAUUUUGUAUGCUUCGUCUUCUAUUAGAAUUGCAAGGUAUUCUACUGAAGUUACAUGGUGUUAAAAGCCAAUGCCUUGACCAUAUUCUUAAGAGAUGUUUCUGAAUUAGACGGAGAGAAUUGAGAUCUUGAUGGAUACUGUAGUUGAAACCUUUGCUGUCUAUCGGGAAAGAAAUCUUGCUGUUUAUUUUCCCCAUAAUGAAAUUUGGAUGGUACAUUCAAUACAAAUUAUACGUGUUAGAAUAAGGGUCGUACUGCCUACAGGCGUGAGCACGUUUUCAACUAUGUUCACUUGUUUUAGCAUUAUCAUCUUGUAGCAUCGGGCAUCCAUCAGUGGAAUGACUAAUAUCCUUGCAAAUUCUGCAUGUCUUGACUUACUGCAUGUUCCCCACUGCCAUCUGUCGAAUCAUAGAUUUUAAUUCAAACAAUUGCUAUUGAAUUAAUAAAACACUUAUCUCAUUCACUCGACGAGCAUGUACUUCAUCCCACAUGUCAAAUUGUUAAAAAUUUUCAAUCAUCUCUUCAAUCAAAUCUUAGGCUUCUUGAGGAGUUUUGUUCACCAAAGCACCUCCAUUUGUAUCAUCAAUGAUGUUUCUGUUUCUAUAGAGUAAGCCUUCAUAGAAGUACUGGACGAGCAACUGAUCACUAAUUUGGUGUUGCAGGCAACUAGAGUAUAGUUUCUUGAACCUCUCCAAGUAUUCGUAGAGGGAUUCUCCUAGUUGCUGAUUUAUACCACAAAUCUCCUUCCGUAGACUAGCAGUUCGAGAUGCAGAAAAAUUUUUCUAAAAUUUUCUCUUCAUGUUCGUCCAUAUGGUGAUCCUCUCCGCAGACAAGUAGUAUAACCAAUCUUUAGCAGCUCCUAUCAAAGAAAAAGGGGAGGCUCACAUCUUUAUCAGCUCUUCUAUAACAUUAGGUGAUUUUAUGCUCAAACAGACAACGGUGAACUCUCAGAGAUGUUUGUGGGGCUAUUUACCUGACAAAUCAUGAAAAUUAGGUAAGAGGUGAAUUAAUCCUGAUUUUAAUUCAAAUGUUACAUUUUCAACAAAAUUAGAAAAAGUAAUGUAUAAAAGCUGCUGAUUUAAAUUAGGAGCAGUCAACUCUCUUAAAGUUUUAUUAUUAUUAUUUGCCAUCAAAACUUCUUUCUACUCAGAAUCACGGAAAGAAUUCAAUAAACUAUCAAGUUAAGUCCUGGAGAUGUAGUAGAUGACUGCUCUUCCUUUCAUAUUCUAGUUUCUUUAUUAGUUUACAUGCAGUCUUCUCAACCUUGAGAUGAAAAUCAAAUCACCUAUAUGAAAAGAACGAGAUAUAAACUAGAAAAAUAUUAGAAAUAAAAUAAAAUAAAUUCAAAAAGAAACAAAUAAACAAUGUCAAUCCCUAACAAUGGCGCCAAAAAAUUGACAGAUAUCGAACCUGUGCAAUAAUAAAUUCCUACUCAUAAAAAUAUAUAAACGAAUAUAAUGACAAAUAGUGUCGUCUCCACAGGGAUUAGAAAAAAAUUAGUUUUCUUCCAAGUAAAAGCCAACUGGGAGAUUUUGAAAAAUUAAAAUUAAAAUAUAAAAUACUCAAAUAAAUAAAAAUAAUUAAAUAGAAGAAAAUUAAAUUUAAAUCAAGAAUAAAUAAGUUCUAACCAAAGAUAUAAUUUUGAAAAUGGUUCAUAUAAUGCUCAUUGAUGCAAUAAUUAUUUAUCUAUUUGUUAAUAAAUAGGUUAUAAAUGCCAAACACGCGAUAACAAUCUACCUUUAUUGUUUCUGUUUCAUAAUUAAGGUACGCCUGUUAACUAUUUUUCGAAUUAAAAAACAAUUCUAGGUACGCUCAUAGAAUUUAAUUUCUUGAUUGCAUUAGAAACUAGAAAAUUUUGUUCUAAUUAAUAAAUGCACUACCAGAGUUUAUUUAAAUUAGAUCAUAUGUUCCCUAACAUGAAAACCAAUCAUGGUAGUCGUCACUAAUUUAAGACAAUUAAAUAAUUACGGAUUUAACUAUCUUAAUUGACAAUAGUUUGUUUAAGUUGAAUUAAAUAUCGGACGUCCUUGAUAUUCAAACAACAAAAUAAUCAUGAAAAUCAAAUCAAAAACUUAUGAAUACUAACGAAUAAAAAAAAAAACAAUUAGAUCUCACAAUUAUAAAUAAAUCAAAUCCUUCGUCAUCUCUUGACUAGAAAAGAAAAUUAAUUGUUCAUCGCGUGAAAAAUCUCCAACGCAAAAGUAUAAAAGAGCAAAAGACCUGCGGUUUAGAGACAGAACAAGAGUCAUCAUUUUUAUGCUUUUCUAAGUAAUAGUCACGACCCUCCUCGAAUUAUUUUUUUCAAAAGUACUAAUCAAGCGAGAAAACCAGCAGCCUCCGUUUUCUUCUCCUAGUGCCGAGACUAGUCAAAUCUUCAAACAAAAACAAAACUCCUAAGUAAAAGGGCACUCUUCUUUCUUUUUGAUUUUCGUCUUUGCUUUCCUAAUUACUACUAAAAACUAAAGAAGUUCCCAUAGAACAAAAAACUACGUCGUUUCCUAAUAUCAAUUGGGACAUGCUUCUUACGUCUUCAACUUGAAUUGGGAACUGCCACGCACAUAAAUCUCGACUCCUUCGGAUUUGGGGCUAACUUAGGCGUGCCCCACGGAAUGGCUAAGAAUCUUCAUUAAUCCAUUUUUAGUUUUUACUCCUUUUUCUUGCAAUAUUCCGGAAAUUACCACGCGUUGUCAAAUAUAAGUAGAAUCCAUCCAACAAUACAAUAUUUGACCAAAAUCAAGGAAAGAUAUUUAUAAAUUUAAUAGCAAUUACACACUGUCACAUCUUCCAUUCUCAAUCUCUUGAUAUCCCUCAUGGAUACUACUUUGACCACAAGAGGGUUGCUACAAUUCUAAGGCCCUGUUUGAUAAUCCAAUGUAGCACUUAAAUUUAAUGGAUUCAAAUAUUAAUAUAUUCAAAUCGUUUGAUAAUAAAAAAUUGAACAUAUGAAUUAAUUAAGUGACACUGAAUUUUCUAGGCAAAACUUGGUUUCAAAAUUAAGUGAUAAACUAUUCACUUAUCGCUGAAUAUAAUAUACACUCAAAUGUAUUAUAUUUAAUACGUCAUAAUUCAAUAAUUUAAUAAUUUUAGAUUUUAGAUUUCAAAUUUCAGACUUCAGUUUUAUUAUCAAACGCACCCUAAGUAUGACCAAACGAAAAUUGACCUAAUUAUUGUAAGAAAAUUGACCUCUUGACAAGAAGGAGGCAUGCAAGUAAUUUCAAUAUGAUUGCGAAAGAAGUAAAGGGGUGAACGAGAAACCAGACAAGCAAAGAUCAUCCAAUGCCCGACAAAAUGUCUCAGCUGACCUUUUACCAAAGCCAGAUUCAUUUUGAGGAAAAUUUCAAAUAUGGACCACCACCACAAGUCCUAGUACAGGGGUUACCUUUAAUAAGAUAUUGUCAAUUUAAAAAAGAGCUAUAAAUGCAACAUAUUUAUCUUUCCAACUGUGAAUAAAUAACAUUACCCCCUCACAUCUUCGACAAACCAUGUGAACACUUGGCUGACUUUGAACAGCUAUCCAAUGGUAUUAGAAUUCAGUGUCAAGAACUAGGACUACUGCCACUUUUGUCAUGAGACCCUCCAGUCCCCAAUGGGGGCCUAAUGAUAUUUUUGUCCUUGUCGUUCCUUGGAGUCGACUCAUUAAAUGUUUUCUUUCUUUUAUUUUGGCCUGUAUGUUGGUAGCCUGACAGGGCCUGCUGGUUUUAGUGAGCACUGCCCUUGCACAAGCUCCUCUUUUUAUCGUGCAAGGUCUAACAAUUCUUUUUUCUAGAAAAGAAAAAGAAAGAGAAAGCUUAUCUGAUCCCCGAGAAAAAGGCAGAUCUGCUUUGUCAAUUCUCAUAAGAUCAGAAGGAUUAAGAUUCUUAGGAAUGUCAUUCCUCAUUAGAAGGACUUUUUAAGGCACAAACCAGAUCAAGAAAGCUUUCAACUGCAGUUUAUGAUACCGUUUAAACAUUUUUUUUUAUCACAACCACUCGUUCCCCGAAACAUUUCAGCAAUAUUUCUUUGAAUUAUGCUGGAAUCUUCGUUUCUCUGCAGUAAACAGCAUAUCGAUAUAAUAUCAACAGUAAUUCUCUAGUGCUAUAGAAUGCGCAUCAAUCUUCUACAAUUAACUCACAAGGAGGUCCACUGGUGGAAGGUGAAAUGCAGUUGACAUGCGACAACCGGCAUAGAAUCAUAGACUACACAAAGGACUGCAUCAUCAGCAAGAAAACUUCAAGUUUCUCAUUGGAUCAGGAUGCACGAGGGUUAACGUUCAUAUCCAAAACAACAGGCCGGGAAGAAGAAACUUAUAUCAUGGCCAACUAACUUAAUUAUGUUACAUCAAAAUUGGGACGAGAGAUUAGUACAUCCACACAUUCCAUCAAACCUUGCUUUGAAAGGGACGGAAGACAGCUUAUUCAUCUCCCAUGGCUAGCUCCAAGGCAUAGUCAUCCCUUUCCUGCAGCAAGAAAAGCAAGGUGGUUAGUCCUCAACUUUAAUGUUCUUUUUCUUUGUUCCCAACAAAUGACAUCUCUUUGCAAUUGAUCUACAGGAUGCAUAAGAGAACUUACGACAGGUCCUCGGGCAAAAUAUCUUCCGAAUUGAAGCCAGUACACCUACACAGAAUAGCAUUAUUAGUUCCACAUUAGGAAUUAGAUGAGCUAAAGAGCAUUUGACAAAUUUGUUGAGCAAGAACUUCAGCCACAAAUGAGACUGGGUUCUGAUAUAACAACCCCCCACACCAUUUUUCUUUUCCUGAUUGUUUUUUUUUUUCUGAAUCAAAACUCCACUUGAUCUAUUUAUCUUUGUCAAACUUGCUAAGAGAGAAUAACCACACUGAGCAUAAAUACCACUACAUGAAAACAUUCUUUUUAAAAAAAUCUAAUUUGACUGCGGAAAAUUGGGGCCAAUUCUUGUGUCAGUGGAUAGCAGAAUGCUGGUUAUGCUUUUCAAGAAGAACAUAACUUCGUACCAACUAAAAAAAAACUGUUUGUGCACAAUGUCAAUCACUUACAGACAACAAAUCCAGUUAAGAGGGCGCAACACAGAGAGAGAGAGAGAUAGAGAGAUUCCAGAAUGAAGUUUGACUCCCAAAAGCUAAAAUUCAAGUCAAAAUGAUCCUAGGAGAGUUUGACACUGAACACCAAGCAACAAAUUACUCCUAAAGAAACAAUUCUCCCUCAACAUUUGAAGCCUUCCUGCAUCAGUAAUUAAUGCUCUUAAGCUUUUCAGAAACAAUUCUUUGAUUUAUGCACUACCUUAAAGAAUCAUAGAUAGAUUCAAUGACCUAGUAAUCUACAUUACCUCAUCCUCAUCUUGUGUUUCAACUUCAAGGUCAGAUGAUGGAAACCCACACAAAGAAGUGCAUAACCCUGCACACAAAGAAUUUAACAUCAAUGCAAGAAUUGGUGAAAUCAUUAUCUAUAGUUCUAUGAAUGUGUGAUAGCGCUUUGACGUCAAAUAAGGACUGACUUGGUUUGAAGCAAAAAGAGAUGAAGCACUAAUUAGUUUGAAAAAAUACAUAUCUUUGGAAACCUUUGAAGCGAAUGAAGCACUAAUUUACAAUCUGGACAGAAGGAAUAUCUUGUAAGGAUCAAAUUACCUUAGAUUUCAGUUCCGCUGAUAUCCCGAGGGCCUCUGGUUGUCUAAGUUGCCCAGAUUUUACGCGAACAGCACAGCUAGUACAACAACCUGCCAGACAAUGAGUUUUUACAAUUAUAUGAAAUGAAAAAGAGAUGCCUUAAUGUGUCUCAAAGUUCUACAAUUUAUUGGGUUUAAUUCAUGGAUUAAUCUUCUAUACAUUGACAGUGUAUACACUUUCACCAUUGGAUGCACAUGACACAUAAUCUGAAUUUGAAUUUCAAAUCUAAAUUUUGCAUACACAUCAUGCAUCCAACCAUGAUAGUGUAUACACUGUCAAUAUAUAUAAGAUUGUCUCUUAAUUCAUGCCAAAACACACCAAAACAAUAAUAUAAAAAUCAGACAUGCAGGCACAAAAUCGCAUACAAAAUCAAAAAGCAAACCCCACAUAUGCAAAGAGUCUAAUACCAAAUCAAGAUAGGGACAACAGAAGCCCCACAUAGUUUAGUUAUAUUUGUGGAACUGGGGGACUGAUCAGCCAGAAUUCACACGUAUAGGAUAUAGCCAUCAUAUUGGCCUUCAAUUUUCAUUUCUAUGCAUCAUCUCAUUCCCCGGAACCACAUAGUAACAACACAAAGUAAAUCUUUUCAACGCCAGACAAGAGGAACUAAUUCCAACCUUUUCAGCAUAAAAUUUCAAAUAUGUUAAAUCAUAAUUUAUGCGAGUGAAACAAACAAUUUUGCACCCCUACCCUGCAAAAGAAAAAAGAAAAUCAUACAGAUAAUGAGUGCAGUGUAGGUGGACACAAAAAAUGGAGAAUGAAGAGAAUGAUCAGCCAGAAUUCACAAUAAAAUGCCAUCAUAUCGGCUAUCAAACCGAUAAAAAAAUGAUAACCAUCAUCUCAUUCUCUUAACUCCAUCCACAAUAUUAAUGUAUCUUACAUAAGCUCAAUUAAGCUCGAUUGAGCCCAACUUGAGUUGAAAAAAGAAUCAAACUCAAGUUCAAGAAAAGAUUGUAUUCAAGAUCAAGUAACAUCACUCAAAUCAAGAUCACACAAGUCGAGCUAGAUAUUAUCAUAUACUUUAAGCACUGAGCUCGAGCUUAUCUUCAGAUAUUUGUUCAAGCUCAAGCUCAAAUUAAAGCACAUAAAUUUUGUGUCGACCUUGAUUAGGCUUGAAUACACCCCUAAUUAGUUAUUUAAUAAUCAUUAACUAAAAGUAUUAGUAAUCAAAAAAUAAAUAUAUACCGUGCCUGCAAGCAAAUGGAAGACUUAUAUUCUGCGAUUCAGCCGUAUGCAAUAUAUACUGCGUCCUGCUCAAAAUCCAUAGUACUACUAUAAAUAAGUAAAUUGAACAAAUAACUCAUAUAACUAAACUCAAAAGGGGAGAAAAAAAAAAGAGAAAGAGAACAAACACGCUAGAAUGCGUGAGAUAAUGUACCUCGGGGACGAAGAAUUCGUGAACGAUAUCACGUUGGCGGUCAUGAACGGUGACCUUGUGGGACGGGACUGACAGGGAGCAACUGCUGCUACCGUUUUGGCCGGUGACCGAAGCAGGUGGCGUGCGGAGCUCCGACGUCGUUUUGCUGCUGCAUCGGUGUUUGGGGUAAUUUAGGUGAGGUGCGGUGUGAAGUCGGUGGCGGUGGAUAGGCGGUAGCCGGGGAAAGAGAGAAGAAGAGAUGGCGACAUGUUUUGUUAUCUGCCUCUUUUCCUGUCCACUCGAAUUAACGGAAAAACGGGACGUUAUAACUCGGUUACGUCGACUGACUUACAGUAACGCUUGGGAGAAUAUUUAUGUUGGAGAACUACCAAAGGGAAAAAAUUAAAAUUGAGUCCUCAUUACAUCAAUUAAAGAUAUAUAUAUAUAUUUUUUAGAUGUUUCGCAGGGAGUGGACCCUGCAGAUUAUUCCCUACCCUCCACAACUUGCUGGCAAUAAAGUUCGAAUCAGGGACUUAAGGCUCCAUCUUCAACAAGAGACUUAAGACUACAUCUUCAACAAUCUCAACCGCCAGACCAAACUCCGGAGGGUAUCAAUUAAAGAUAUUAUCCUAUAUAGAGGCAAAAAAAUGUAUAUAACUCUUUGGGGGCUUUUUAACCUUUUCUAAGUGCACUUUUCUUUCAAACAAAACAAGCAAAAACUUUUCUAAGUGCACUUAAUCAAAUUUUAAUAAUAUAAAAAUAAGGUAAAGAAAAGAUAUGGGAAUCGUUACAACUUACCACCCAAAUCCUAGACACUUGUUUUGAACAAGAAAGAACAAUUAGCUCAUGACAGCCUAUUUACCUUAAAAUUGGUUACAAUAAUUAGAUAAUAGAUUAUUGUUUGCAAAAAUUUAUGUACCUUGGUCUAUAGCCCGAUAAGCAGAUGUAUACCGAUUAAGUUGCACUUAAUACUAAUCAUGUGGUGAUACAAAUAAUAGUAGUGUCAUUUUGAUUUUCUUACAUUAUCAUACAUCACCUACUUUUGCUUGUCUUACAGCAACAUAUAUCAUCAUACAUAACUUUAGAUCACUUUUCUUACAUCAUUAUAUAUCACCUACUAUCAUCACUUUUCUUACAUCAUGGUAUAUCCAUCUAGCAGCCACCAUCACUUUUCUCAAAGUAUAUCAUCCUACCAUGAUCUAAGCAAUACCAUAAUAUUUCUUGGUAGUCACAAUUUCAAGUUAAUCUAAGUAAAAAUGCAUGGCCCCUUUGGGUUGUUAUUUGUUAGGAGUUUUUUUGUAGCAAAAUAUAUUGCAAUAAUUUGAUGUAUGUGAGAUAGAAAAGGUGAUUGGAAAAUGUGUUCACGAAAAAUGUAAAAUUUUUUUUGGUAAAAAUCACAAUUUAAAUUAUGUUCUUGUUCCUGUAUGAGAUGAAAAAUACCUUUUACAUCAAUAGAUGAUAAAUGGACUAAUAUUUUUGGUUAAAACGGAACCUAUAUCUAUAUGUAUUGCAGAAGAGGUUUUUAUUAGAGACUCUCUCAGUUACACAUGUUUGAUAGGCCAACGACCCAGAAAAGCUCCAGCUGCAUGGAAGACACGAUGCAGCAAACGUGUCAUCCCAUGGUAGUCCAACCGCCAUUAAAGCCAUGCAAACGGUCACCCCUUCUAUAGGAUGAAGCAUCUAUAACAACAUUACUCGUUCACUUAUCCAAGAAAGAAUACACAGACACAUAGUGACGGCGAAAGAGGGAAAGAAAAAAUGCAUUCAGUCAAAGAGAAGGUUAGCAAUGCAGCAGCUGCAGCCCAAGAGAAGGUUGAGAUCAUGAUAGCCAAAGGUGAAGAGAAGGUGCUUAGGUUUUCUUAUGUUCUUAAUAUCCCAGCAUUUAUUUUAUAAAAUCAAAGACUGGACAGUAUCACUUUUGUAAUGUUUUAGGAAUCAAGUGGUAACAUAUCAAAAUUCUGGUUGGAUUUUUCAGGCGGAGAAAGCUGCAGCAAGGACAGAGGCAGAAAAGGUGAUAGCCAAGGAGGGAAGGAAAGUUAAGGAAGCUGAAGCAAAGAUGAAGCUGCACGAAACCAAAGCAGAGAACGCAGCAGAAAAGCUAAAGCAUUCUCGCCCUGUUUAUGGUCACCACGACCCAGUGGUUGGAGGAGGUCAAGGGCAUCAUGCCCCUGUUGGGACUGCAGCCAACCCAACAACUGUGGUUCCAACUGCUGCUUACCCUGCGGGGAGCCAUCCUCCCGGCCACCAUCAUACCAAACACGUCUAGCGUUUCCACAGUCAGUGUAUGUAUGGGUGCUUGUCCAGCUGCUUUCUGCCUGUAAUUGACUGCAAGUUUAUGUUCGUUUAAAUUCCGGAUUGGAGUAGGCAAGUUUCCUUGUACAAUUUAGAAAUCAACAAGCAAGAAGCGCCGGUCUAGUGUACUUCCAGAAUAAUUGGAAUCUGAUGGGGAUUACUCAUUGAUACAGUGUUAUUACACAAUUCUGACAAAUCUCUCUUUCAUAUUCUAGGCAAAACCACAGAAUAAAGCACCGUCUUCAACAUAUAUAAUUUGUGAGAGAGAGUUCAUGAAUGACAGAAUGAUUGUAUACAUUAACAUUCAAAAAGCACCAAUUUCGAGUUCCUCAAGUUAAUUUUACAAUUUGUUAAUAAUAACAAGAAAAAGAACACGAAAGUUCAUGUUCUAGGAGUCCAGUAAACACGCUAGAUGGACUAACCAAUGACCAAUUUGUGAUCUAGUAAAUCCCGGCAGGGGAACCACCUCAAAGAAGAUCAAUUACACCCACUCCAGCCUACCUUGGUAUUCCACACCAAAUUGAAUUGUACCGUUGAGACAUCUUGCUUGGUUGCUCAGCUUCACCGGCCUGGUGCUGUAUUUGGCUUGAAACCUCGGCAAUGACUUGUGAUGCUCUUUAUCUAUUGCAUAUUUCUCUGGGGGAAUCUCAUCAAGGAACUCAUCUGCAACAUCACCAUCUUCAUCCAUCCUAAGACGCUUGGCAUACCAUCUAAAUCCCUGAAACGUUAAAACAAGGAUCGUUUAAUACAGACUUUUGUUUAUCAUGAAAGAAUAGUUAGCUAAACUUCAGAAUUUGCACGAGUGAAGCAGAAUACACAGAGACUAAAUGUCUCGGCUAAGACCAAAACUACUAUGCCCCCAUAGAUCUUCCCUAAGCUGCCCAAUAAGGGCAAAGUUUGCAGGCAGCUGGUCAAAUAACCAUUAUUAAAGCACGAGUUGCCUCAUGAAACUGCUAAGUCGGCCAUCAUAUUUGUUACCACCUCUCAAUACAGCAAACUAUCCCAGAUCCAUUAAACCAACUUUAAAUUUCAAAUGAGAUAUCUUGCAAACUGCCCCACGUCAAUUCAAUGCUACAACAAAAUUAGCAUAGGAUUCAGCUUAUAUUCAUGCCAGCUCAACAUGGACUCUGAUUGAUACGAACUGUAUAGAGGAUUAAUGAGGACUCAAGACAAAGACAGAAUACCAUGAUGCCCAGUUGAAACAUGAUCCAGUAUACAUUUGACAAUGGCUACAAACAAACCUAAUCAGAUUCUUAUCAAGACAAACUGGGCAAAGUGGCAACUUCAUAAUUAAGUUUUUACUUGAGUGUUCAACAACAAAAAGUUCAGAAGUCUACAUAACCAUUAAGGUUUACCCGACCGUUGCCAGAGACUGACAAACAGACAGCAGUGGAAAUCAAAGCAUAGAAUAGAGAACCUGUAAAAGACAAACAUAGGGAUUUAGCAAGCAUCACAGACAAUAUAAAAACCAGACAGCGUUCUCGGACAACAGGAACUGAUUACAUGUUUGCGAUAUGGAUUGCGUUAGCCAUAACAGGACCCAGAAGACCAAAUUAAACAAUGUCACAAGCUUAGCAAGUGCAAAAAGGAUUUUUAACACAUACAGGAAGGGAGAAAUGUCAGGGGCUAAGCAAGCUAUAUGUCAUGAACUCUUGCUGUUUAAUCAUCAAUAAUCCAACCUUUCUCCCGUUGAGGUACUUUGGUCCCAUUUGUUAUUGAGUUUGCCCGUGUAUGCCAAAUUUUGACGGCCACAAUUACCAGAUUAUAAGGUUCUAAAUUAAUUAUACUUAUCACUCAAAUAACUAAAUUUGAAAAGGCUCAUUUUCUCUUACUGUACAAUGAAACAGGAAAUAUGGUCAACUGCACACAAUCACAUCAGAUGCAACCAAAAAAUUUUCCUUAAAAACAUUGGAUUUCACUUAGGAAGCGAGUAGAAGACUGGGGAGGAAAAAAGAAAACAAGCAAAAGCAAAUUUAAAGACAACAUAAAGGAAUUCUUACAAGUUGACGACACUGUUACAAAUUAUGGAAAUACAGAUGAUGAAGAAUUAAGACAGAGAAAGACUUUUCUGAAUUAUAGAAGAAUGAAUUUCCUAGAUGUAGUAAUUGCACAUGAACAACCUAUGUUUCUGGCUGACAUAAGUCGAGUACACCACUCAGUUUGCAUUACACCAGGAUCGUGCAAUAUCAGUGGCAUGCUAAGCUACAAUUAACAUGCUUAAAAAGAAGUGUCUUAGCUUGUUCAUCAGCAUGCCAGCAUCAUAAAAAAUUAUUCCUUCCAUUAAUGACAUAAACAUUUAAAAAAAAAAUGCUUCUUUACACUGAUUUUUUAAAAUUGAGCUCCAGAAAUAUCUAGCGCAGCAUGAAAAAUCAAAACUUUUCUCCCUUGUGAUGAACCAUUUGUUCUUUCUUUACUUCUAACAAUUGGCAUGUACACUCAUAUUGCCAACAGCACGAUGCAUUACCACUUAUCGAUGUACCUAGGCUUACAAUUACAACUAUGCAACCUGACACCAGCUGAGUAACAUCGGAGAGUUCAAGCUUGCCACGGUCCUUAAAUAGGAGAUAAGCUAACAGAAAAUGAUCUAGUUGACAGAAUAUGAGUUCUGCUCAUCGUGAUACACUCCUCCAGAAAUCGUCAAUUUCCAUCAACAUAAGCUAACAGCUACGGAUUCAACUGCUGCCCACUUCCCUAUAGCUCACAAGUCACAACCUUUAUAUUAAACUACUUGCCUCAAUCAGAACAAGAUAUCUGCUUACUAUUCCGCACUUAUCAUUACCCCAAAAUCAAUACGUUGACCAUCCAUUCACUAAAACAUGUAAAUCAAUCACAAUUAUUCCACAAUAAUCGCAUACUUUUAUCUGAGCACUGCUCACUACAACACAGACUAAAAAUCGUUCAAAACCAUGAUCAACAGCAAUAAACUCAUAAUUCGAGUAUUAAAUCCAUGCUAGUUCAACUAAAUUUUGCAACUUUAAACGCUCAGUAUCGCUAAUUUCACAUAUUACAACACAACUCGUCAAUAAUUUCAAUCAAAAUUGGAAUAAAAGUAAAAUUUGGUGAAAGAUUUUAACCUGAACGCCGCCAUUGCCGGAGGAGCAGGGGACGAGAACAGGACCGGAUAGAGGUCUAUCGACGGCGACUUGGACGGGGACACUGAAGCCUUUACGUUGGGGAUGCUGAGCGGCUGCGGAAGUGGAGACGGCGUCGUUCUCAUCCUCUUCUUUCAAUUCUUCUGCUUCAUCUUUGGCGAUCCCUAAAAACCCAGCUAGUCUUCUGAAUAAACCCAUCGGCCCUUGCUUGUGUAUAAUUUUAUCAUGCGGGAAGAUAAGAGUUCCUAUACGAAUGGGUUAGACGGAUGGAGAGAGAAUACGGGUGCGCCGGCGGCGAAGGAGCGAAGUGGAAUUUUGGUGAAAGCAAGAAGGGCAGUUCGGGAAUAUUUUCCUGGGAAUGACGACGAUGUCGAGAGCUACAAGGACGAGGAAAGACUUUAGACAGGGAGAGAAAUAAGAGAGACUCGGCCAAUUGGAUUGCUCGAGUUUGAGCUUUGAAGGCCCAAUAGAAUAAAGUACUCUCUUUUUUUCUUUUUUCUUUUUUUUUUGUUGUGUUUAUUUAUGUCUACAGUCUAUAUGCAUUCGGAAUUGCAUCUCUCAAUUUUUUUUCAAUGUCCAAAUGGACUUGCAAAUCUCCAUUGGGAUUGGAUUUCCUUCUUUUAAUAUAAAAUUUGGUAGAAUUUUGACUUAAUUAUGUGAAAAUACAUGACUCUUGAACAAUUUUACUACUCAUUAAUCAAAGUGUGAGCAUGUUUGUUUGGAUUGAGGCUUAUUUGCCAAAAUUUAUUUGCUUACAUCAUCAUUACAAUUUUCAACACAUCUUUUUAUCUUUCCAAUUAUCUUUUUAUCUCACAUACAUCACAUCACAAAAAGUGCUACAAUAAAAAUAUCUCAAAUAAUUUACAAUCCAAACAGAGCCACGUGCAAACCGCUACCAUAUAUAGAGCCAAUAGACAUAUUUCGCACAAAUGUCAUCACUUGUUUCCUGAAAGUGAGAAUUUUGAUUCUUGUUCACCAUACGCUAUUCAGGAUUUGUUUGGAUUGUAAAUUAUUUGGGAUAUUUUUACUGUAACACUUUUUGUGAUGUGAUGUAUGUGAGAUAAAAGGGUAAUCAAAAAGAUAAAAAGGUGUAUUAAAAAUUGUAAUGAUGAUGUAAGCAAAUAAAAUUGGAGAAAUAAUGCUCAAUCCAAAGAUUUGGUGGAAAAGAUUCUGAUAAGAUUCAGAAGUAGCAUUUGUGCACUUGUAAAAUAUUAUAUUUGAAGAAUCGAUAAAGGGAAAUUAGUGAACAAAGAGUAAUUAAGUUCCUUUUACUUGAGGAAGGAUUGAAUUAGAUGGUCACGUAAAGAAAAUCGUAAUAAGAAGUCAUAAAUUCCUGGUCCGCGCUACGCGAGCAUUCUGCAAACCUGCUCGUGCAGGGAUGAUUUCUAAAAUUGCACAUCCCGACGAGAAAAGGGAAAUUAUCAAGACCUGACACGUACAUUUACAUGCAUUCAUACUUGCAAACAAGAAUUUGACUGAGCACUAUUUUCCAAACAAGCGUAACCUUGACGAGCACCAUCACAAACACACAGCUAGUUCAACGUAGCAUUGGAGGAACAUCCCCGAGAACUUGGGUCAUUUAUCAGAUUCAAUGAACUCAUUUUGAACAAUAAAUUGAUAACACAUGCAGAACUAACAAUCAUUGUGUCAGGAAAAAUGGCAUCUGAUCUAUGUAUAUAAAUGACUUACAAAUUACAUGCUGCUUCAGAGUCAAAACUCUUCCAUCUCUCUCUCUCUCUCUCUUUACGCGAAAAGUAUCUCUCAAAUUAUACACGACACAAACAUGAGACUGAAGCGUGUGGGGAGAACGGAUCCAUCAGUAGCAUCUUAUGCAAAUCUUCCAAUUCUGAAAGCCAUGCUUGUCUGAAUAAUUUUCCCCACGGUACAACAAGCCUGUAGAAAACAUUCCACACCAGCACCCACAGGUCCUGUGGUUCCUAACAUCUAAUCUCAUAUGAACCGGCCUUUGUAAUGUAACGGACCCACUCAACUGUAUUGUACCCACUCUUCUCCCAUACCUGCAGAAAUGCAGUAGUAGUUAAGAGCCAUUUCUAUUAUAAAGAAAGCACUCAGCCACCAGCCAAUGAAAAUACCUUCAGAAAACGCACACGCAAUCCAGAUGCUGUAAACAUAGGAACCUGCAAAACAAAAAUAGGUCCAUAUCAAUCUUUGUUUUACAUUUGCUUGUAGUCAAUCAAUCUUUCUCAAAACAAAAUCAGCGCUCAACUAAGAGGAGAAAGAGGGCCCUAAAUACUCGAAAUUAAUGUACACGUUUACUUUAAUUAUACCAAGUACCAAAGUGAGACUAAGCUGUUUAUAUCAUCUCCCAUGUUCUUUCCUUUGCUGUGAACAAUUCAUCAAUGUAACAUGAGUGAGAACAGAAGAUACCAGGAACAACAAAUAAAGGGCACAUUGCAGUUUUAAUCCCCUAAAUUUUGGACUAAUUCCACUUCAGUCUCUUACAGUUUGAAUACAUUUCAUCCUUCUCUUUUGUACCAGUCUCAUUUCAGGUCCAUGAGAUUUAACUUUGACAUAUUUGCUUCUUUUUUUACUUUAGUACAUUGUUAAUCAUCCUCAAAAAGCACAAUUUUAGAAGAAUAAGUAAACAAAUGUCCCAAUACUGAAACAUGAAAGCCAAAAGUAGGAUGAAAUUCAACCAAAUGUAUUGUAACUGAAACAAGAGGAACUAAAUUGAGACUGAUAUUAAUCGCAAGGGAUGAAGUCUAACAUUUAGUUGCCCAAAAAUAAAGAGAUGCUAAUUUUGCAUUGCUCAGCACCUAGUACUGUGAUCUGGGACCAGAAAACUACCUAUCUAAACUUUUGUUAAGUAAUUUGCCUACAUUCAUGACACCUAGCAUUCAAACUUGGAGAAAAAUUAUAUCAUGCCUCAGAAAAGGAAGAAAAGUUCGUUUUGCAAUCCCUACUCUUGCCAGCCUAGCUGAUGAAAAAAAACCUUUUGUGGACCUGUUAUCUUAAUCAUAAAGCUGUGACACUGGGAACAUAACAUGAUAGACAAUUGAAGAAAAGGCUUGUAAACAUAGAAAUUGGUAAGAUACCUGAAACUCCAUCUGAAUUGGUGGCCUAGUCCAAGACUUCUUUUCUGCCAUUGUGGAAAUCAACUCCACUUCGGCACUUAGUGUUGGUUCAGUUUGUCCAGGAAAUUUUCUAAUCCUGCAAGAUACAAAAAGAAAAGGAAACUUAUGUUACUGUAGACCACCAGCCACCAUUGAGGAUUAAGGAAUACCUAGAACAGGAUAAAUAGUAGUUUAGCAUAAAAAUGUGGUCUAAAAGGUAUGCAACUAAAAAUCAUAGGCUGUCUUCAACAAACUAACGAACAUUAUGUACCAUGACCAAUAGACAAAAAUCUUGAGUCCACUACAUCCCGACAGUCUGCUGCCAUAUAGCUACCAGGUAUCAACGGUGUUUUUAAUCUCUCAAAGAAGUUAAGCUCUCCACAGAAUAUAAAUACACUUGUACGAUGAGCUUUACAAUUAUCACAAAAAAAUAUUAUCUUAAUUUUAUAAGCUGACGUGUCUUAAAAUGUUACUGUAGCAUCUGCUUUAAAUACUAAACAGCGGCACUUCAAUAAAAUGUAUUCUAGGCACCAAGGAGAAUCAAAUUCAAGCCCAACAGAAAUGAUGUGCAAAAUCUGGAGAAGAAAAAAAGCCAACCAAUGAAUGUACAUGAAGAACAAUUUCAGCAACGUAUAUAAGCAAUAUAAAAGGUACUUGCAAGAGGAUGUUAUUCUACAGUAGCACUCCUUUGCAUAUACUUGUCUUGAUCAGACAGAAUUGUGGUAUACAUUUAUUGAGAAGGAUAGCUCCAUUAUAGUUAAGAGUAAUUACAUACAGAUGCAAGACAUAGAAUAUUGCAUCAAAUACUCACUUCCAGACCAAACAGUCAAUAGAUGCAUUGUAUUUCGCUCGACCGGAUGUAACUUGGAAGCUCGUUUUUGCUGUUUGUUUUGGUACUGGAAUCUUAACGACAACGCCAAGUGCAAACAUUUUUGCACCAAAAACACUCUUAACCUGGAUGCAAAUAUACAAACUGAGCAAAUGAUAACAGCAAGUAGAUUGCAUAUAUCCAAAAAAUAAGACGACAAACCUUAACAUUCACUUCCAUGCGUGUACGGCCAAGUUCCUUGAUAGUUGGCAAUACCCGGAAAGGGAGAUUCACACCCUCAGUGAUACGGUACCUGAAAUCAAAGUACAUGCGUGUCUAAUCAAGAAUGAACUAAACAGAGCCAUGUACGUGGGAAAACAAAAUAAACUAAACCAACAAGCCUCAUAAUUAGAGAAAUGAAGAUUACAUAAAAUGGACUCGUAUAAAAUUAAGUACGUUGUCAGAAACAGAAUACACAAACUGCUAACUUAUAUCAGAUGCUCAUGACUACAACAUCCUUUGGCUGAUGUAAAAAUGAGGUAAGAAACUAUUCAGAAUAACCCCACCCACUCAACUAUCCCACCACAUGCACCCCCAAAAAAACUUGAGAAAAGGAAAAAGGAAAAAUAAAUCUUAAAAAAAACUGUCAUCCAAGAAUUCAAUUUGAAUACACUAGAAAAUUUGACCAGCUCUCCUACAUACUCAAAUGAGAAGAAAUUUUUAUUUGUCAUCAAAUCUUGGUAUCAAUUGAUACCUAAAUAGUACAACUCCCCAGAGUGUGAAAAGCAGAAACCAGACCGUAAAAUUUUAGCAUUCUAAAAUAAAAGAUCCUCCAAGGAGAUGCAUUUUGCUCAGAAGGAAAAGUACAACCAAGCAAUUUUUCAAUAGGCUUAGGUAUUAUAAAAUAUUUGCAACCAAAUGUAUUCUGCAUCUAAUGUUCAUGUAUUCUCUGUAUGCAAUUGGCAAGCAAUAGACUCAAAAAAAACCAUCAAGUAGCCUACAGUUUGAUCUGUAGCAAUUGCCGUAUGUUGUUUUUUAAUGCGAAGAUGAACACACAUAAAUGUAAAAAGGACAACAGACACAGUCAUUUUGGAUGUUACAUUACUGCUUACAGCCACUAUCAGAGCCCAGCAUCAGAAAGUAAAAGCAUGUGAAAAAAAUUCUUCUGACAAUCAUCCAAGGGGAAAAAAAAAAAAAGAGAAACGGGAAACCUAGCAUAGUUUGCUGAGGGACUACAAGCUUACUUCAUCAAUUCAAAUUCACCAUCAGGAGGAACAAAGCUGACCGUUUUCUCUGAGUUGAAUCUCGUCAAAUUUACACAUUGGUGGAAGGUAACGUCAUCAAGCUCAAUAGUUUUGCCACUGCAAAAAUUACAUACCACUCAGGCAAAAGACAUAGUAGAAAGAGGAAACCUGAUCAAGCAUGUGCUAACCAAAUUAGCUUGUAAGCAGCAAAUCUGUCAGAGUCUGAGGAAAAAAUAAGAAAAAGUAUCCAUGGCAGAAUAUAAAGUACCAAUUUGUGAACAUUACAUGUGUAGAAAAAGCUGUCCUCAGACUUUAAAACAAUAAAACAGCCCAAAGAGGAGCAAACAAUAAGGUUCUUCACCCUUUUACAGCAAGGAAAGGUUACAUGCAUCUAACCACUAUAUCCAAAAUGGCAAAGAAAUACAAAGAGGAAAAAGCCAACAUUCUAACAUUUUGUUCUUUAAAGUACAACCCAUUUUUUUAAAUAACGUAUAAGCAGCACUAAAGGCACCAAAUGGUUGCCACCCAGACCACAACGAAAAAACUGUGAAUGCAAAAAUCUAUUUGCUUGAUAAAAAAUAUUCAGCAAUUCAUAGGCAUUCACUCAAAGAACAUCAAUAAACCCGAAAUUAAUGGGUACUCCGGUUCUCAGUUGUGCUAUUUUCUUAAAAGCUCCACUUGACGCCGUCUUUCCUUCCUCUCCAAAGUGACCAAAAACUAUGGAAAGGUUCAGAAACCAAACAUGAGUCCCUACCAACCUCAGGCUCUAAUACACUCCAUCGGAACCAAAGAACUUUCUAAAUUGCCAAAGAGUUCUAUUCUUUUUUAUUCAUGUUACCACAAAAGCCAAGGGUGAAAAAUCACAAUUACCUCUUCGUAGGACGUGAUUUUAUCUGUGACUCUUUCUCCAGGCCAAUCUUAUCAUUCAAACCCAGCUUUAAAUCAGGCAUUCCAGAAAGGAAGCACUUCAUGAGAAUUUUCCCAGUUACAUCACAUCGCAAAACACUGCCUAUAAGUGUCAAGAUGAUAUAAGAAAGCAGCAUACAUGAAUAUAGAGCAAUACAUCCUUUAGGCUAAAUUGAACUUACCUUUUGAAGACAUAAGAAGAUUGACGCUUUCCACAAUAUCUAGAAACACCUAUUAACCAAAAACAGUAUAAUUAAAUAUCAACCAAUUAAGUUCAACGAACAAAGUAUCAAAGAAAAAGGAAAAAGAAAUACCUCAUUCUUCUUGUAUACAAGACCCUCUCUACGCCAGCCAACAGCACCAGUAACUUGUAAAGUUGCAUUAGGCACCGGUCUUUCUGCAGCCUGUUAUGGAAUUCAAAUAGAGAUUAGAUCAGUAUUCAUAUAAUACUUGUACACAGGGACUCUUCAAAACCAGUACACCAUGAACAUUCCCAAAUAUUUCCAAAGAACAAGCAAACAUCUAACCUUAGAUGAAAAUGGUGAGCGUACACCUUCUUGUGUGAUAUAAAGCUUCAAGAUUUCCGGUGAAAGAUUUUGUGGAUAACCAAAGUCCAUUAUCUCUGCAUUGAAAUCAUAACAUCAAUCCAAUGGCCUGUAUGAAGAUACUAGAAUUCUGAAUGAAAUGCAUACAAAAAUCUACAAAUAGAUACGUGUCAACAAUGCAGCUCUAACCACGCAAAUAAGUAAUCUCAUCCACACAAAAGAAUGCAAUUCACACCCCACAAGAUAUACAAAUUGACAGAAGAAAUCCGCCAAAGAUUAAAACAAGGUAAGGCACUAAAAACAAGCUUUUGGUACUCAUCCUGAGUCUUAACAAGCAGAUUGUUUGGCACACUGAUAACAACAAUAUACAGAUCAAUGAUAGAGGAAAUACAGAUUUACAAGUGAAUAUCUAAAAGGUACUGAUCAAAGAUGUCCAAGGUAUUCUUGGAAGGUAAGGAGUGUACCAUCCAACAGCUCAUAGAUUAAAACAAAAUUAUUCCGAAUAGCAUCUUCAUCAAAAGCCCCGCCAAAAUAGGAUUUGAAUAAAUUUACUGCCUGUGGGAAAAAAAUAAAAGUUGAAAACCGGGUUAGAUCAGUUAAAGAAAUUAGCUGCUCUUAAAAAUAUAACAAAUUUUACUUGUCAAGCCAAUAUGAAAUGCAGACUGCACAAAAGGCAUGGGUUCUGUUGUACAAAUAAAUCAAUAGAUGAAUACAUACUUUUUUUAAACUACCAACAUGAAAGAACUGAACUGAACCAGAGAUGAAGGCAGUUAUCAAAGAAUAUCAAACUAACUAUAGGUGAUAAAGCAGAGACAACACAUGGGGCUGAUGCAGCCAUAAAGAAAUUAAGCAAAGAUAAAUUUCGAGAAUAUUGGACGUUUUACUUCAAACAUAAAGCAUUACUUCAUUAGUUUAAUCCAUAUAAAACGUGGGCAACCGAAAUGUAGUAGUAUCCAGUGUAGGAAAAUCACUCCGAUCUCCUCAUGUUUUAUAUUCUAAAUUAUAUAAAGUAAUGGUAGUAUCAUAAUUCCAAGAAUUUCUGGAGUUUCCACAAAACAGGAAAAGGGUUACUAUCCAGAGUCAAAGUUAUGUCAUAAAUUAUUUAUUGUAUGUCUUCUGUUUCUCAAUGUCCAUUUUACCCCUUAUAUUGCAACUUUUCUCGUUAGUAAUUAAAUUAUAAGCUUACCCAAGAAAUCAUACUUAUCUUGCAUUAUGCUACACUAUUUUAACUUAAUAGGUGCUGACCAGUUCAACCCUUGAAAAAAUUCCUGGAAUGGUAUCCUCCUCUUACCUACUGUGAGAAAAUGCACAACAAUUCCAAGUGAGCUACAAUUUACAUGGAUGAAACUAAAUCACCAUUCACAUUACUGUUUGGACAACAAUCCUCCAACCUUUUCAGUUUCGAAAACUUUAUCUCCUUAAGUUUUACCCCAUCCAUUGUUCAAGUAGAAUCCCUUCCAAGUUCAUAGUUCUCAUCCAAUUUCACAACAAGCCUUCGCAAGACAGACCAUGUGCCAUCACCCUCAAAGCUUUGCAGCCUCAAGGAUAUAAGUUAUACAUUGACCCCAGAACUUAAUAGUAGUACCCUCGUCCCAACAUCUAGUAAUUUAUCCCAAGCAAGAACAUUAACACCUUGACAACUUUAGCUAAACGUCUAUUUAAACACUUUUCAAGCUUACCAUGUUUAUUGAGGUUUUGUCAUUUUGUUUUAUACAUAUACACCUCAAUACCUACACAAACUCUGUUCAAGCAUCGGCAGUGAUGUCAUUUGAAUGAAGGGAGUGGUAAGGAAACCAUAUUACCCUACUAACACCAAUUCGACAAGCAAGCAAGACAUAUAGCUUAGUAAUUAUAACAAACUUCAGCUGUAAAAGCUACGUCACAACUUAUAAAAAAAAUAAAAAAAAAAACUUCCACACACUUCUUAAGUGUAUGAAUUAGGUAGCAGCUGAGUACCUCAACAACGAACUUAAAUGCACAAGCAACAUUGGCAUUGCUGCUCACAACAAUCACAAUGUAGACGUUACUGAUUCUCAUGUAAAAGAAAGAGCAUCCUCCAAUCUGGCGCACUGGGCAUGUUCCGAGCUCUUUUGUUUGCAUUAUAUGCAUUCGAAAGGCAUCAACCAUAUUGCCCCUGAUAAGAAUGAAAAAGAGCAUGUGAGCUAAACUUGUUUGCAAGGUCACGUGAUAACAGAACUUCUUGCAAUAAGAUAAAGACAGAACUAAAAAUUCAUAAAAUAAUAGCAACAAUAAUAACUGCCAGACCAGCCAGAAAAGAACUGCACAAAUGGGGCUUGGAACUGGAAAAUAAAAUGGUUUUAGAAGUUCAAUCCUUCAAUUGGUCAACUUGAAAGUGAGCCAGUUGUUAACUAAUAUAUUAACUUGUAUUCCUAAUGAGGGAAAAAUUGUAUAUUUCCUAAUCAAGUUGUUAAAUAAUAUAUUAACUUGUUUUCCUAAUGAAGAAAAAAUUGUAUAUUCCCUAUAUGGGACAAGAAGAAAGGAUCGGCUUUAACAAUUAAACACAUAAUGAUAUUAUGCUAUUGCAGAAAUUAUGAACAUGAGAUACUUGACACAUUAUUGGGCACAUCUGCUGCACAAAGGACAAAGUUGGAAGAGUUUGAAAUGAAAAUGGAUAUGAGUUGUUUCUAACAGUAGUUGAGAACUUGUGAUAUUGAAAAAUUGAAAGAUUCUAUGUCCCUUCAAGAUAAGGGAAGUGAUAUAGAUGCCAGACUGGCUUGGCUGAAUGAGUGACAAUCUGCUUUUUCUUGCCUUCCUCUUUCAGAUGAAUUGAUUAGUGUACUCAGUCUAGUAUCGCUGCCCUUACUUUUAGUCAGAUAAGGCCCCUUUUUUCUCUUUAGUGUACAAUAUCUGCUCUUAUCCAGCGUUUGAAUUGAAAAAUUUUGUCAAACAGGCUUUGCAUGUGAUUAACUUUCAUUUCAGUAGGAAGAAAGGUACACAUAAUACUAUACCAUCAAGUACAAAGAAAAGGCUUCAUGAGGUAGAAUUACGAAAAGCCAGACUAAGAGAAAAACGAAUUGGGAGCAAAAGACUCCUAAAACAACCUAAUAUUGUUGGAAAGAGAUGUUUCUUAUCAUAUUUAGAUGUGGAAAGAGAUGUUUCUUAUCAUAUUUAGAUGUGGUGCAUCAUGUAACGCUGGCAAAUAAGCAAAGUAGUUCAAAGCUAAUCUAUUAUCUUCCUAUCUAUAUCACUGUGCCGUCAUUAACUCAAAACAAAACUAUAUGCGUUAUUACUAAAAUUUCCAAAUGUCCCACCUGAAAAGCUAAUCAGUUUCAAAACCUCUGAAACUUUUACUAGGCCCCGUAUCCUAGUACUGUAGAGUAAUUAUUUUAGCUGGUUGCCAACUGUCAAGAAUUUUUUGUCGUCUGGAUUGCAGCAAGACUUGAGCUUUUUUAAGCUUAAGAAGAGCAAAUGAAAUGAAUCCAGCAUAAAGCAAUAUCAGAUCCUAAAACCAACUCGCAGACGAAAAAUUGCAUCUAUAGAAGCCUCAUUCUGCAGAAUACCUACAAUUUUUCUGCUUCAUACUCCCCCGUUUACUCGAAAGAUGGUAAAAGAUAAAGUUAAACAAUUCAACAAUAUUUCCACUACUUUAAAGCAAAAUUAGACACUCAAAAGGAAAAAAAACGUCGCAAACAUCAAGCUACUGCUACUUCGAAGAAUCAAAUCACUCAAAUUAAAUCGCAUGAUAGGAAAAAUCAGAGGUAAUUGUAGGUCUUUUACCCGACGUCAUCGCGGUAGAGGCGAUUGAUGAGGACAUCGCCGCGAAGAUUUAAGAAAUAUAUAGCCGACGCCGCCACCGGCAUAAUUCAACUCCGAUUUCUUCCUUCCCCCAAUUAGCUGGUACUCCUAGAUCAGAUGAGAAUGAGAUCCAGGGUACUCAAUUCGACCCUCGAGGUGUCAUACAACAACCAAAAAAUUGCAUCAAUUUUAGAUGAAUGAAAAUGCAAAUGGAGAAAAUGUUGAUGCCGAAAUGGUUCAAGUAGUAAGAUCUGAAUUUGUCUGCGGAGCUGUCAAGGAAAAUUACGAUAGCAUAGAAGAAACGUUUCUCCUGGUCAAUAUCAUCAUACUUUUCCCUUCCUUUUACCAAAAAAAAUGCAUUUCCCUUCCACAGUGUGUUUAUUCCACGUGCAUUUCACAUGACUUCUCUUCAAUUCUUUUUUUUUUUUUUUUUUUGGUGUAGACUACAAAAUAAUUAUACCCAAAGUUGUAUAGUUUUUUUUUUUGGAAAAAUGGCCAAUUUAGGCCUUGUUUGAUAACCUCAUUCACCAUUUAAAUUUAAUGAAUUUAUAUCUUAACAUGUUCAGAUGCAUUUGAUAACCAAAAAAUUGAACAUCUGAAUUAAUUAAGUAGUUAUUUACUUAUCACUGAAUGUGAUAUACACUCAGAUAUAUUAGAUUUAAUAAUUUAAUAAUUUAAUGAAUUCAGAUUUCAUAUUUUAGUUUUUAAACUUUAAUUUUAUCAAAUGCACCCUUAUCUUAAAAUUUUUUUUCCAUUGAUUUCAUCCCCUUAAUAUUGUUUUUAGCCAAUUUGAUUCAUAAACUUAUACUACGGUUCCAAUCAAGAUCUCAAUGGCGGCGCCACCGCAUAAAUUCAAUCGGACUCCUAAUCGAGCAACCAAGAAGGGGUAUUUUGGGGAUUUUCGGUGUUGGGGUUGUAACAAAAAGAAGUAAAUUGAUGAAAAACCCCAAUUAUAAACCUGGGGUUUACCCCAAAAAAGGAGAUCUGCCCAAAAUUUUUCAAAUUCGUGUACAAAAAUCACUACAAUUAAAUGCAUCCGAGGAGGAAUUGGGACAAAAAUGCUUAGGGGUGUGCAUCGAAUUCAAUUUCGGUAAAUCAAAACUCUGAAUUCGGAAUCUUUGGAAAUUGGAAGUUUCGGAAUCUUUGGAUAUUAGAAGUUUCAACCGAUUUCAAUUUCGAAUUCACAAAUUUUGAUUUAGAUUUCAUUUCGGAAUUUGGUAAACUACUGAAUUCACCGAAUUCGGUAAACUUAUAAGUUGAUAACAUAAUUUGCUAAAUUAGAUGCUAAUUUUUGUUUCCAUACAACAAACUUAAUUAGACUCACUAUUAUUAUAUAAUCUAAUUAGUAGUUAGACCUUAGAGGUAUUAUUAUAUCAUAUAAAUAUUUUAUAUUACAUAGAUGUAUUAAUAGUAAUACAUAUAUAUAUAUGCAUAUGUAUAUUAUAUAUACGAAUUUGAAUUCAAAAUAGGUACUUGAUUUACCAAUUUCUAAGGAAUUUUUGAUUCGGGAAACGUAAUGUCGAAUUCAAACCUAUUUCGUACAAUUCGAAAUUAGAAUUUUUGAUUUCCUUUUCGCUUUCUGUUUUUGCCGAUUUCAAAGUUCCGAAUUGAACUCGAAAUUGGUCGUGUUUAGGGAAUUUCAAUUGGUAUUUAAUUUGAUUAUGGAUUAAACGUCCGUGUUGAAGAAAAGGGGUUAAAAAAAGAAAUGAUUGCUUCUUAUGAAUAUUCUUUUUGCUGUACUUCCAAAUUCCAUAAAGAUGAAGUUGGUGGCUCCGAAUUCCUUUUUCGAUCAGUGCAUUGCAAAGCUGCAUGAGUAAAGCUUGGAAGCAAAAUCUUAUAUGCAAAAAUCAUUUGCCGCUGUGCGAGAGUGUUUGCAUGACUUGUAAUGGGACGCCGCCACCUACACCACUAACAUGUAGUAGCAGUUUUCCCGUUUAGUUGGAUUGGCUGCCAUACUGACUGAAUCCAGUCCAGCAACAUGAUAUGAUAGACCAAUCAGUCCCCCAAACACUAACCUACCUACUCAUACUCCUUAAUCUCUUCUCUUUUCUUUUUUUUUUUUCCUUUUCUUUGUUUGCUCCCUAUAUAAUCAGUCUGAUUGUGAUAUAUAUUCUUAAUUUCAAUUGCUCUAGCCACAGCGUUCAGGAGCACUAUGAUACCGGUCACUGAGAGGAUUUCAGCGAGAAGAGGCUAUCCUGUAGAGCCUGAUAUCUCAAUGCUCCUCGACUCGGCAGCUAGACAUUUCUGUAAGAAAUUUGAAACAAAAUAGGCUUCACUUUUUUUUUUUGCUCCAGUUAGAAGAACAGACUUCUGCUAAUGCUGAUGUUUAUACAAUGCUCGCCCAAAGCUGAUGUUUCAUUCUAAAAGAUUUCAUUUAUUCAACCUCAAGUGAAAACUUGGAGCCAAAAGCACGAGAUUCAACGUCAAAAGUCCAAGAAAUGCUAGAGCCACUGCAGAGUUUGCCCUUUCUUUAAUCUUCUCCUCUGAAUUGGUCCCCCGUUUGCUUUCAAUCUCGAUAGCCUCUUGUUGCCGGAAAAUUCGAUAAACCCUUUCAAGCCUGCAACUUCAGACCCUACUACGACAAAAAUUACAAUGUUAAUGACCAACCUACAGGAUUUUCAGUUUCAUCAAUUCUUUUCUCCUCCUCCUGGCUUCUGCAGCAGUGGUUGCAUCCUCUGACAUUUUCCUGCUGUAAACCACUGGCUUUUGAUACUCUUCCGAUGCACCUUUUUCUCUUUGUCCGGCAGAAGAUGCGGCAACCUCCGCCUUGGUUAAAGUGUCAUUUCUCCUCGCAGCAGUACUUAGUCCUACAGGUAAACUAGUUGCCGGCCUGACACACCUCAAGGGUGUCGGCAUGAGAACCAUCCUAUCAGGAUAAGUUCCUCCAAUGUUACCACCACCGUCUGGGGGGUAUCCAAAUCCAGCCUGAUGGACAUCAUCAACGGAGCUAUUCACGGUUGAAUUAGAAGCUUCUGUUUUGACUUUCAAGGAUAAACAGGCUUGGUCAUCCUCUCCAUGCAGACUGUUUUUCGCGGAAGAACUUGCGGCGCACUGAUUAUUUGAAUAAGCUUGAUUUUGUCCAUCGUUUUGGGGAGAGGGCUGGCGGCGAAGAGCAUUUGUUGGGGAAUGCAGAGGAAAGAAACAAGGGAAUGGCAGUACGUAUAACAAAGCUCCUGGAUUAGCAACCAUCGCAGAUUCUCUUUGAUCAGACAAUAAUUCCGGCCUUGGCUCAUGUGUCAUGGCAAAAAGCGAUGGAUUUGCAAUAUCACAUAGAGAUCUGCUUCGAAACAGGGUAGCAUCUAGAGGUUGAACUGCUGAUGGCCAGUGAAGUGGAAGAAUAGGGGAUGGUGUAUAAGGAGAAAAUGGAGUUCUUGAACAUGCAGAUACAGAACAUCCUCCACAAUUAAAGUUUGAUUCUCCUGUGAUUUGCUCUGACUUGGGCUUCACCAUUUUGGCCAUCUGCAAAAUGGACAAAUAAAUCGAAGUUCAAAUACUACAUUUGCACAGAUUAAAAACUCCUCUCAGAAACAAAAUGCAGUACCUGUUCCAUCAAGUAAUCAUUUGUGUUUUUUAGUGAAUCAUACUCCUUCAUUGCCAGCUCCUUUUUCUUCUCAUAAAAAAAUUAUGACCCAAAAUAUAAAUAAAUAGCAAGAUAUAUUAGAGAUUUUGAGGAAGUCUCCAUCUAAGUUAAAAGCUAUACAAAAGGAUAUGCUGAAAUGACCACCCACCUUCUUCAAAUUCUCAUUCUCCAGUGUCAGAUUCGCUGCUUUUCUAGUUAACUCCUCAAAUAUAGCCUGGAAGAACAAACGAAUGGAUGACAUUGAUCGAAUUAUAGACUUUCAAAAACCAAAUUAACUGGAGAAAAAUGCAACUUUGAGAAACGGUGAUGAUAGAUAGAGAGAACAGCACAUCACAGGUAAUCUGAGGUAUAAAAUAUUCUGUGACGCCCUCAGAACAUAUCAAAGUCUUGCAUUACACUGUCCAUGCAAAAGACUUGAGUAGGAGAAUCAAUAUAAAACGUUUUUCUGGAUAAAAAGUAAUCGUACCAUUGUUGUUUCAUUUACCAGAUAUCAACUAAAUAUACAAACGAGACAGCUGAGCAGUCAAAGACGUCAAAACACUAUAUGGCAGAAUGUAGAGCCAUGUUAUUGAGCCAACUUACCUAGUAAUAAUUUUAUCAUCGAACACUUCACAGCAACUAGUUUUUACUUGAACGCAGAAGAAGAAUUGCUCGAGUCUAGUAUUUCCAAAAAUAACUUUGUUUUCAAGCUCCUAACCACAUAUAAAUAAAUGACUCUAGAAAGGGCAAAUUACACCUUUGUGUUUUAGUGGUUUUUCAUAUAAUUCCCUAUGAUUUCAAAAGUUAUACAUAACAUCCUCAUGAUUUGGAUUAAAGUGUCAAAGUGAUGGAAAUGAUCAUUCGUAACGGAGUCGCCUAAAAUGUCAAAAAUACCCUUUUAUGUAAAGUUGAAAAUUAUUUAUUAACCAAGGGGGUUAUGUAUAUAUUUUGAAAACCAUAAGGGGGUUAUCUGAUGAAACGCUCAACCAUAAGGAGAUUAUAUGGUAAAAUAUAAAAAUCAUACGGGAUUAGUGUGUCAUGCAUUUAUAAGGGUAAUUUUGAUAUUUUAAAAAGCACUGCUACGAAUGAUUAUUUCCGUCAUUUUGACACUUUAAUCUAAACCAUAAGAGGCUUAUGUAUAGUUUUGGAAAUCAUAUGAGGGUGAUGUAGAAAAAAUACUAAAUCAGAGGAGGGUAAUUUGCCCUUCUAGAAAAGUAUUUGCUUUUGUUUAAAUAUGACAAUAGCAGCAAAUAAGCUCCUCACUGCUUAAAACUAACAAGCGUAUAAAUAUAGCAUAUCCGUAAGUGCUACAUCUUGAAUUUCUAUGGAUUGAAAGCUUCUAUAAUUUGUUCAAAACUCAUCGCAGAAAUGCCUCUAAGCCAGAUAUACAAAAUUGUAGUAACAUUUGUAAUGAUCUCAAGCAGAAAAGUUAACCACUGCAUUUACCUGCCUACGCCGAAUUGUCUGCCUCGCUGAUUCUCUAUUUGCCAAUACACGACGAAGCCUUCGUGUUUCCUUUUCAAUCUGCAUUUAAGUCCAAUUAAAGAGGAGUAAUAUCAUCCAUUUCUUUUGAGUUGGAGGAAGAGGGGAGAAGGGAGACGAAAAUAAACGAUCUUGAACGCUAGGUACCUCAGUUGAAGGUUGCCUUGAGCUGCUACCACCAACAGAAAAAUAACUAGUGGAACACGACAAGCCUCCUGCUUUAAAUUCAUCAUUUUUCUCAUCUUUUACAGUUCUAGUGAUCACAUUUGAUACCCUUUCGGAAGGCUCCUUGAUCACAAUUGCCUGACCCUGCUAUAAAACAAAAGACGCUCAAUUAUGCACCAUUUGGAGCUCUAAAGAUAAAGAACAAACAUAGUAAAGAGAGAUAUUUCUACGAAUCUACAGUCAGCUCGAAUAAUAAGAAACCAUCUGCUCCAAUGAAUAGUGAUUAUAGCCCCUCUGAAUAUAAGAAAAUUUCCCUUUCCACCAUAAAAAUGGAAAUUGGAAAACCAUGAAGACAAGCGCAGAUAAUGCAAGGAAAAGAAAGAAGGAUGGGGGGAUGCAUGGCAUUACGCUUCAAGGCACCUUUGUAAUCGAUAACCUUGUGUGAUCAUUUUUAAGCACAUUCCAAUCUUAAAGGCAGGCGAAGAAUGUUAAGCUUCAUAUUUGAAAUCUGUUACCAGUAUAAUUAUGCCUUUAAUUUAGUUUGUUUUUUAAUUAAAAAAGGAGAUACUGCUAGCAAAAAUGUCUAAAAGAAAACAUGUCCACCAGCAUUGUUUGAAUUGAAGGAUCUGAUAUGCUGGUGUAUUCCAACCAAAAGUAUCACUACCGGGGAAGACGCAUUGUAUUUAUUAGGUUACAAGAAGCCAAGUGCCAUGGCCCUAUACAUUGUAGUUAAUGAUUUGUAUAAGGUGCAAACUAGCGACGAUAUUUAAGAGAGAAUCUACGGGUAAUGAGCAGCUUAAUCCCGUAUGUCAUCCCCAUAAUGAAUGGCAAAAGUCGUUUUAAGAUCCACCCUAGACCAUCUACGUAGUAGGACUUAGUCUAAUGGUAAUAGGAUCUUUGUGUUGUACAAGCACGGAGAGUUAUUUCUUAACUUAGGUGUAUGUGUCUCAAGUGCAGUAAAACUACACAACUUCCAUUGGUUGAUUUUUAAGUACUUGACGUUGCUACUUCUGCCUUCAAAUAAUGAACGGAAAUUGUCAAUACAAUUAGGACAAUUCAAGUGAAAUCAAAUACAGUUUAAAAGUAAAAAUUUAUGAUUUACUUGAAAGCAAGAAAGCAAGAGGGAUGGGUUGGGUUGUAUGGACGGAGGGAGUGUAAGUAAGAGAUCUCUCGAGUUCGAGUCAUCCUGCUUACACUUAAAAAAAAAGGUAAAAAAAAAGCACAUAAAACGAUUCUUCAUUGCGGACAAAUUAGUUUUGCAUUCACGAAUCAUUAGACAUGUAUCGAUUCAAAGAAUCAAAAUCAUAUAAACCAUUGAAUAUCACAUCAAGAAUAGAAUAAAGUUAUCAUCCAGAUAUUAAUUCCUAAUCAAAAUUUAUUGCAAUUCGGAGGUUUAUUGGUACGCAUGAUCAUGAAUGGCGGCUACACAUAUUUAUUGUUAUUUGUCAUCUUAAAUGGUACCAAGUAGCUAGCUUUCCUACCCGAAUUACCAGUAGGAAUAGCAACAGGGUGGGGCGAGGGCAAAUAGUCCACCACCCGCUCCCGCCAACCUGCCCUGCUUCCCCCAUGGGAGCACCUUCUCCGCCCAUUGUUAUUGUGUUUUUUUUUUGGUUGAAGAAAAAAAGUAUUAUUGCAUAAAGUGUAAUUAAAAAUUUAGUAUAAAUUUAUUAGUAAAUUUAACAUAACUAAUUAAUAAUUUCUAUUAGUAUACAUGUGUAAUUAAUAAUAUUAAUUAUAUUUUAUAUACUAAUAUACAUUAUAUAAUACUUAUAACUAAUAAUAAUAUUAUUAUAAAUUUAUAAUUAAUUAAAUCAAACAAUAUAAUAUAUAUAUUUAAUUUUUUCAACGGAUACCGGGCGGAGAUAGGGCUAUACUUCCCCGCCCACCGCCCCAUUUUUUAAUGCCGCCGGCCCGCCCCUCCCCGGCCCCAUCAGCUUCCCGCCGGGCAGGUGCCCAUCCCUAAUUAUCAGCUAUAAAAAAAAGCGCAUUGCACCUUACGUGCUAAUAGUAACAGUAUGCGUAGUAAACAGUCGGGCAAGUAAAACUUCAUGCUACAGUUAGCCGUCUAGCACUACAAACUGGUAGUAACCGUAACAGACUAGUAGUAGUGAACAAAAGUAUCCAGCCCAGACAGAGUAGCAUCCAGAUGAACCAAACUAAAUAUAAGAAUAGAACCUGAGGAAGAUGAGGAGGUAGAUCACAGGUAGAGGGCGGCUGUGAUGGUUUUUGUGGUGGGAAUGAGGAAGACCCGUAGUUGAUCACUGGUGGGGAUUCCGGUUGUUGGUGGGGCGUGGCGGAAUAGGCUAAACCCGCCAAAGCUUCCGCGGCCUCCAACUCUAAGGUGAUCAUUUUCUCCUCCGAAUCCUCCGAAGCCCCAGCAGUUGUUUUCUCCAUAUCCAUAUCCAUAGCUAGUAAUAGUAGUAGUAAUGGUGGAGGAUGAUAGUGGUAGUAGUAGGAGGCCAGAAGCAUCCAAGGUUAUUAUACUGAUAGUCGUAAAAGAAAAAGAGUUGAAGAGGAAAAGCCAUACAAACCCAACCCUGCGAGGAAGGUAAGGCGGCAAAGUUGUACAAAUACUACCAAGCAAGCAUGCUCUGAUUUGUGUCGUUCCCGAUCAGCAACGAAGUAAGUGACAUGUGUCGCUCAGGAACGUAGCCGCACUACUUUCCAAGUCCCAGGCUCCGAUUUGUGCUUCCGCCACGCGUUACCCAUUGGCCACGUCGGCUGUUUCACUUGUGGAGGAUGCUCGCACGUUCCCCAGCCAGCCAUUGCUGAUUAGGUUCUUUUUUUUCCCCCCUUUUGCCUUUUGGGGAGUUUUGGGCCUUUUUGCCCGGGGGUUGACUAUUCAGUAUAAAUAGUGCUCCCUCCGUCCCAAUAUUAAAGACAUUUAUAGGGAAUGUAACUUCUUAUGUACAGUGAUAUCAUUAUUGACAGCCAAGCCUUUGUUUCAAAUUUACCCUAUCACAAGUACAAUGGUCAACUGCACUUUGUGUUUUUCAUAGAUUAAUGAUUUCGUGGGUCCCAUCUUAACCAAAAGCAUUCUUUAUUUGUUAGAGACACGCGCUAUUAUUGGCCUUAUAAAGUGAGAGUUAGUUUCACGUACUCCUCUGGCUUCUCCAAAUGGAUAAUAAAUAGCAGGUCCCAUCAAAUUUAUUUGAAUUUUCUAGCACAUGCACUACGAGGGCAAGGACGGAACAUUAGAAGGAAAAUAGUGUAGCGUGACUCUAAUUUUGGGACAAUAAAAAAGGUGAAAUAUGACAUUAACAAUGGGACGGAUGGAGUAUCUUGCUCUUCAACAUAGACAGUAUAAGCAUGGUUAGCCGUUGCGGUUGCGUCGCGUUCUCGAUUAUUCCAUAUUCGUCGCGAUAUAUCGAUUAAAUAUCGGGUGAUACACACAUUAUAGCAUAUAAAUUUUUUUUAAAAAUUUAAAAAAAUUACUAAAAUUAAAAUAUAUAAAAAAGCCAUAAUUUAAAAAAAAAAAUAUAAAUCGAUUCCAAAUUAAUUCGGCUGUAUCGAUCGAUAUCACGUAUCACUGACCUAAAUUCAUCAAUAUCAAUCGAAUCAGAGCGAAUAUAAAAGCCAAAGACCUCUUUAGCUGAGUUUCGUCUUUGUCGUCACCACGUGUGCUGCAUGUGUGUCCUAAAUAAGUGGCACGAUGGCGUUUUGUGUUUUGGCUGCUGAAUGUGUUUUUGGUCAAUUGAUGCAACGCCGUUUAGCUUCGCAGCUGACAAGAAAACAUUGGUAAAAAAUAAUAAUAAUUAACCGCUGCACUUACUUUCUUCUCCGUUGUUGUCGAUCGUACCUUCUUUUAUGCUGGAUGGAGCUUACUAGGUGGGAGACUGGCUGUUUUUGUAUUACUUUUCAGCCUUGCAGCUGGAGAAUUAAUGAGGGUGACAUUUGAUUUCUUAGCUUUAGUUUUAAAGGCAAAAAAAAAAAAAAUGUUAAACGUGUUUAAGGAACAUUAGUGCAUUUGCAUGCACCAAGUUGUUGUGAUAUUUGGCCAAAAUUAUUGUGAUUUUCACUUCAAAAUAAGAUUAGCCAUAUAAAUAUUUUUGGAUAUUCAAAAAUGACAGAUACGUAUGAGACUUUAAAUUGGACAGAUCAAGUUGUUAUUCAGGUUUUGUACUAAGAUUCUAAUUAGUAGUGCUUCUUGGAUUGGCAACUGGAAAUUCCUUAAAACAAGAAAAACCAAUUUUCUACUCCUAUUUUUACUGGCAGUAACUACUACCAUGCGUUACCAAGAUUAUAUUGAUCGAUUAUCUAGGCCAUUCAUGAACUUCAUACCUUCCAGAUUUUCUUACCAAAUUAUGCACCAAGAGUUUUCUCAAUUCAAUUCUGACAUCUGUAAUUAGCUUAACUUUUCCUUCUUCUGUCAUGUUUCUGUUCAGCAGCUUUACAGCGAGUGAUGGAGAUCAAAAAGCAUGAAUACAGGGCUCAUGUUUUGGCUAUUCCUGCCCAAUGGUCCGGCCACAUUAAUCCUCUUCUUCAGCUAUGCAAAUCUUCGGUACGGAGGGGGGCUGAAAACCACACUUACCAUUAGCAAAUUCAUCUCCAAAACAAUGGAUAUAAAGUCAGAAGAAGUCCAGAUUGAUUUGAUAACGGACGGCAUUGAUGAUGGUGGCUUCUUCACAAAAGACAAUGUCCCAACCUCCAUGGCUCGCUUCGAAGAUGUUGGCUCAAAAUCAAUUCUUGAACUCAUCCAGAAGUAUACAUGAAGCUUUAGGGGAGCCAACUGACUACAUCAUCUACGACACAUUGCUGCCUUUUGUGCUUGAAUUAUCUAAGGAACUUAAAAUACCUGCAGCGGCUUUCUUAACUCAACAUUGUGGUAUUAACUUCAUAAUGCACCGGUACCAUGGCUCGCUCCUCCUCACCCCCAACACCUCCGGAUUUCAGUGGAAGCUCAGCUACGCUGAUGUUCUGUCUUGUUCUUCUGGAGUGCAGUUGGAGUAUAAAAGGUGCGGUUCUUUUGGCUUUUGGAAGAUAUAGCUCUCCUAGCGCUGAAGCACCCACCACCGCCCGUCCCAUUUCAUAAUAUCCUUCUGCUGUGGUUGUUGAUCACACAAGCUGCGCUGUCUCAGAGACUAAGAGAGAUCACACACUGAUCAUCUCUGAUGCACUUAUUCAAUCUGAAGUUAUUCUAGGGAAAGAAAAGAUUGACGUCAGUUACGAGUCCCCUUCUUAAGUGGUGUUUGAGUUCUAACAUCUGCAUAUUCGAUGAUGUCAUGGCUAUUGUGGCUUAAUACCUUUGAUUUCAUUACCUUCACAUUGGACCUUAUGCAUUUCAUCAUUGGGAACUUAACUUCUCACAGUUAGCUUGUUCAAGUAAUUGAAUGUUCUCUUUAAUAUGUGCAACAGGCACCUAUAGUUUUCGAAGGAAUUGGUCACUCGAUGAACCCAAAAAAUGAUUUGGUAAUUUAGGAUGCAAUUGUCUUGGAUUGGAGCCUUCUAUUAUAACAAAAUCAUGUAGAAUGAAAACAUAUAGAUCUCGCUUGAACAAAAAAAAAAAAUUUUUUGUGCUCCCAACAUCGUUCAUCACUAAUCAAAAUAAAUACCAAAUGAAGAUUUGUACAUAUAUAGCUAUCAUUCUAAUGCUUAAUUUAUUUUUUUUUAGCAUUAGAACUUUAUUACUUGCUCCUACUAUUUAUACCAUUACUUCAAUAGAUAUAAAGCCAUACUACAGGUUUAAAUAAUUUACGCCUAACUGGCAUGCAUGAUAUUUUUCUGCCGAAACCGCGUCCGAUAUGCCGAGACCGACGUGGAACGGUCCAGACCGCGACCGCAACUUUGAACCAUGAUCACAACAGGGCAACGAACGAUAGCACAAGGUCAUCUCCUGCGCAGACCGUCAUGCACCAUGUGCUGAGUUUCCUGCUGAACGAUGGCAAUGUCUAGUGAUUGGUUCGAUUCUACCAGCAGUGUCCUAUUGUUAUAUACAAUUAAGGGUCGGAAGAAUGAUCAAAACUUGUUUGGUGUCUAUAUUAAUCCUAAAAUGACUACCAAAAUCUUAAUGAUAAUAAUCCUCACAAACUGUAGGAGAUGAAGAUCUGCUAUUAAAACAUAUAAACGUUGGUGUUAGUUAAGUCGGGAUGAAUUGAGCAGUGUGCCAAGGACAUGAAGCAAAGAAACAUCCGUUUUACCGUUCUAUUAUUGACUGUUGAGUAAAUACGUAAAAUUUUCAAGACAAGAUUUUCUUUCAUCGAGGAAGGAAACUAGUUAAGAUCAAAUAUGUAUGCCGGGAAGGGUAGCUCAACGCCCUAAAAGAUGUAACAGAAAUUAAUUUUUAAAAAAAUCUCAUAAUCAUAAUUUGAACUAUUCUGAUCCGGAAUAUGCAAAUUUCUGUCAAAGGAGAAAAAAGGGCACAACCGAGAAAUUAGUGGUCAUGAUACGGCAAGCAGAAAGCCUCAAAAAAUCAUCAUAAUAACUAGUCAAUUUGAACUCACUGGCUAGCUCGAAAAACCCUGCGAAUUUUGCCUCUGUAUACGGCAAGGGGGAAAAAUCUGUUUUUUUUUUUUUUUGGGUCAAGCAUGUAUGGCAAUGUCAAUGGCCCCAAAACUAAAUAACGUUAGUAGAAGGUUAAUUUGGCUUCAAGCUCAGCUCGCGAUCGAAUUUCAAACAUCCUUGUCGGCCCAAAUGAUUUAGAGAUGGGAAGCCUGAUUUAUGAAGGAAACAAAAAAUUCUAUAAUAGAGACAGAAUUGUGCGAUGCCACUGCCUCGAACAAUGUCGAAUUGUGACUGCAUGAAUGGAAGCAAACCCAACAAAGAAGGUUUCAUGGCUGCAAAAAUUAUUAUUGGAUAAUUUUUUGUGUGUGCUAAAUGUUAGGAUCUAUUGAUAUAUUGAUUGAAUUUUGAUUAUGAAAUGGAAAUGAAUGCAGAAAUGUGGUGCCUGUAAUUUUUUUUUUUUUUUUGGAGGUAUGAUCCGCUCAUACCCCAAAAAAUAAAGAAUAUAAUGGGUGCAAUUUUGAGGGACAUGAGAAGUGGCGAGAGGGAAAAUGCAGAAUUGAAGAUUGAAAUCAACACGUUGAAGGCAAAAGUGAAAAUAUAUUUGUUCUUGGCUUGUGUCUGUUGCUGCAUUUAGUUUUUGUUGUACUUGAAGGCAAGCAAAGGCAGAAGUAAGGUUUGCUGGAAUUGAAGAUGUUGCAUUAGUUUUGAACACUAUAUGAAAUUUUAUGGUCCAUAUGUUCUAGAAGUUGUAAUGCUGUACUUUUAAAAUGAAGUAAUUCCUGAAUUUUCAUCUAAGUAAUGAAAGUUUUGGAUUUGGAUUGUUUAGUAUAUGUAAUAGUUUUGAAAGUUUUCGGUGUCAAAUUCAAUGUUAUUUCUUUACCCUUUCUUGGUUCCUCAAUUAGGACCCUGACCGAAUUUUGCCUUGACCUCAAUUUAAGGUUGCCUUGACCUGCUACCACCAACAGAAAAAUAACUAGUGGAACACGACAGGCUUCCUGCUUUAAAAAUAACUUGGAUUUUUUGAAGCAUGGAUGCAAUUUUAGAAGACCUUGACGUACAAAUAGCAUUGGAUGAUUGUUAGCUCCUGCGGAGAAGACAUCACUCCAACCAUGUCCUUGCGUUAAAUCCCAAGUUAAUGAACUAUGCCCUUUAGUCCGGUUUGUUUGGAUUGUUUCGUAUUUUCCCAAUUUUAUUUGCUUACAUCAUCUUUACAAUUUCCAAUACACCUUUUUAUCUUCCCAAUAUCUUUUUAUCUCACAUGCAUCACAUCACAAAAAGUGCUACAGUAAAAAUAUCUCAAAUAAUCUCAAAUAACUUACAAUCCAAACAGACCGAUUAAUGUCUGUUGCUUGUUUGAACCUACUCCUUAGAAUUGUGUUCUUUAAAGGAAAUCCAAUUUGUUUUCAGACUCAAAUCUCAUGCUAAAGAAGCUAUGUGCAGACAAGUUUAUGUACCUCAAAGAUAACUUUUUGUUUUUUUGGGUGACAAGACAAGUAGAAAAUGUCACGUCUAAAGAAGUAUCCUCUUGGCCCUUAGGGUUGGUAUAUUUCAAUAAUUAAAGUAGGUACAUUACCUCCCAAAAAUUACUAUAGAAUGUGUUAGUAAUGGAUUUCAAGGUAAACAUUUCUAUAGGUUUCAAAAUUGAAGAAUGAUGUGACAUCUUUUGCUGUAGAUUGGAGGUUCAACGAAGAAAGUUGAAGAUCCUUGAUUGACGCGAUAGAAAAAAUCAGAAGAUUGUGCCAAUUACAAAAGCGAACUUUAGCUCUAUUUGUAGUUUCCCUCAAAAAAAAAAAAAAACUCUAUUUGUAUUUCUUUCUUUUUUCUAAUUUUUUUGUGAAUGACUCUAUUUAUAAUUCGUUUUGUUUUUUCUCUCAUCCCUCCUUACACUUUUCGUAACUGCAAUUGUCAUGUAUAAGAUUCGAACCUGAAUCUGACAAUAAAAAAAAAUACUCUAGAAACCUUUUCCUAACCACAGAUAUUUAUAAUUUACCCAAUAUUCCUCACCCUAAAUAAGUUGCUCUUAUUAUUUUCCUGAGAGACAAUUUCAAUUAUUUAUCUUCUCUUCUAAAAAACAUCUAAAACUACGUUAUAGAUGGAGCUAUUGUACUUUGACCUCUAUAAUUUGUUGAAUUUUCUCGCAGAUAGAUAUCUAAUGGACACUAAUGGAAAUGAAUUUUAAGUGUUAAUUGUUUUAUUAAGAGCAGUCUUUACUCUUUAGUAUUAAUUUUAAAACAAAACAUAUUGAGGAGUAAUAAAUGUGACUCCAUUGGAUGUACUAUUUGGUGCCCUUAGAUUGGAGGUUAAUUUCUUUCUUAAAUACCUAUACCGAAAGACACCUUUUUAGAUAUAGGUGCAAAAUUUCCAAUUUCCCAUUUUCAAUAGAGAAACGAAACAAAGAAGUUCUUUUUUUUUUUUUUUAAAAGAAAACUUAUUCAAGAGCAACACGAAAAAGUCCAUUGAAACAUUUAUGACCCAACUAUAGUCCAACCUUAACAACUCUGCAUCAGCCAGCCCAGAACUGAAGACACCUGCACUACGUGUAUAUAUAUAUUGACCUGUAUCUAUAUACUCACGCACUAAAACACACACGAACACAUAUAAAACGGACGGAAAAAAAAAGAAUAUAUAAAACCCUAAAUUCUAACCCCCACCCCCCCCCCGCCCCCCAAGUUUCACCAUCUUUCGGCUCCGCUUUUUCUUCAUCCCAAGUCCCAUCUUUCUUUUAUUUCUUUUACUAUUUCAUUUUCUCUUUUUUUUUUCCUCUUCUUGACUCCCUCCUUCUCAGUCACAACUGAGUAGGGGUUUCUUACUUUCUUGGAACUUAGAUUCCUCCAUUAGUUCAUCAUUGAUUCAUUUUCCCCCUCUUUAGAUUUGAUUCUUCUUCGAUCCCCAUUAAUCCCAGAACCAAAAACCAAAAACCAAAAACCGAAAAAAAAAACCCAAAAAAAGAAAAUUUUGAAAUAAAAAAUCCAAAGCCCACAAAAAAAUGGAUUCCCAAGAUUCCUCCGCAGCACCGUCCCACCACCCCCAAUCUUUCCACCUCCACCAACAACACCACCAUCACCACCAUCAACCGCCACCUCCUUCCUCCAUUUUAGUAUCCCAGCACCAACCCAACUCUUACCCUCUUCAAUCCAACCCCACCGCUAAUAGUAACAGUAUUAUGCAGCAACAGCAGCAGAACCCCCCGCGAUUCCCGUUUAACUCGUCGAUGGUGAGUUCGUCCGGGCCCGGGCCCGGGCCGAAGCCGUUUUCAGACUAUGUAGAUGGUGGUGGGCAGUCGUCGCCGACCACUGGCGGUGGUAGUGGGCCUGGGGGUGGGUUUAACAUUGAACCUGCUAAGAAGAAGAGAGGCAGGCCGAGGAAGUAUUCGCCUGAUGGGGCUGGUAGUAGCAUUGCUCUGGGGCUUUCGCCCACCCCUGUUACUCCGAUUUCCUCCGCCUCUGUCGUGGGCCUCGCGGAUUCUGGUGGCGGCGGCGGUGGCGGGACCCUUUCAUCCGAGACUCCAGCUAAGAAGCACCGUGGCCGUCCCCCUGGCUCUGGAAAGAGACAGCUUGAUGCUUUAGGUGAUUUUUUAAUUACCCCUCUUCAUAUUACUCUGAUCAUUGGACUAAACCUCUUAUAGUUAUGAUGAUAGUUGUAGUUCUGAGCUUCUUCUGUUUAUUUCUUGCUAAAAGUUACAUUUUUAGAGUAUAAUGGAGUAAAAUUAUGAUUGUGGGGUUGGUAUUGUGGUUGGCAGGAGCUGCAGGAGUUGGGUUUACGCCGCAUGUUAUUACAGUGAAAGCUGGCGAGGUAAAUCGUGAAUGCGGUUCCUUCAAGUGUAAUUUGUCUGGGAGCUGUGUAAUUUGGCUCAUUGAUUAGUCUGUCUUGUUCGUGAUUUUUUUGCAUUGAAUUUGAGAAGAAAGAAAUAUUGAUCACUUUUAAGGAAAUAGCUCCUUUUUAUUGUCUUUGGCUCAUCUGGUUUAUACGAAGCUCAAUUAAGGAAAUAGAAAAGUUAUCUUAAGUGAGUGUGUAACUUAAAAAUCGAUUUCCUAAGUUGAACUGAGCCUUGCUGUCAAAUGCAAAUUCGAGGAGAAGUUUUGUUGGGAGCCCUGGAAAACGAUCACGUCAUUGACUAAUAAAUGAGCUAGAAAUGCUAAUGAGCUGUUUCCUUAUAUUUACGAAAGGUGGGAUACAAUAUGUAAAUUAGCGCAUGGUCCCAUUGCCUGGAGUGCUAGCAUCCUAAAUGACGUUUUUAUGCACAAAAUCUAUUAAAUAUGAAAUAUUAUUUCUCACCUACCGGACACUCUAAAUUGGUUCUGCAUUUCAAAGAUUUAUGCAUGUGAUGUUUUAAACUAAACUUUGAUCAUCCUACAUCACAAUGUCAAUUGAUUGAACUUUUCUGCUUCUCAACUGACUUAAUUUUUGAGGGUUGAAUUGGAUUUGCAUUACAUGUUUCCUAGUUGCAACCUGUGCCUUUAGGAAAUGAAUUUUUGAGUAUGUUUAAAGAGCCCCAAAGUAGUGAUGGUGUUAUCCUAUUCCAGUUGAUAUCAAUUAAUGAGAUUCAAGCUACAUCUCUACAGAGACAUUGACCGUGUAGAGACAAAGCUUUUGUUCUUCAAUUCGUAUUACCUAUGUUUCUAUGUGCACACUACAUCGUCGGCAGAAUAAGGAGGGGAACAAAACAUGCACCAUGUAUAUGGAAAAUAUUUUACACGCCUUGAAAAUUAUUUAAAGUACUUAAAGUUGUACAUCUUACUAAUGUGAUCUAAAACUAUCUCUGGUAUACUUAUGAACACGGUUUUUGGCAACAUGAAGUUUGGUAAAAUAAUUAAUGCGAAAUUUGUCCUUUUGUUUUUAGUUCCCAAGGAAAAAACGGUUUUCGUUGUACUUGCCUGUAAAAUCGGUUCGCUGAAUCUCAUUGUUCUUGUUAUUUAUUGCUGCAUAAUUGCUAAUGUCCAACUUGACUAAAGAACUUUGAACGCCUUAUGCUUCUUAAACAUAAUUAUCAAAAUCUUGAGAAGACAGUUUUGCAAUUUAUUCCUGCUUAAGUUUCUUCUGUAUCAACUUGUAUUUUUAAAUGAGUUUAUCAUAGUAAUGGUUUAUUUUCAAUAUAUGUUGAAAUUAAUUUAUCUUUUGUUGAUUUUAAUUGUGUCUUGCAGGAUAUAGCAUCGAAGAUCAUGGCUUUUUCACAGCAAGGGCCACGUACUGUUUGUAUCCUAUCUGCAAAUGGUGCCAUCUGCAAUGUGACCCUCAGACAACCAGCAAUGUCUGGUGGCACUGUGACAUAUGAAGUGAGUGUGUUAAUCAAUUUCUAGGCUCCCAUGAUAACAUGUUUUACUGCUGUGCAUGUACCUUUGUGGCUGGAUGCAUGUACAGAAGGUCAUAAUUGCGCCAACUGUUGUGAUUGGGAUAUUAUCAGUUUCUAAUUUGUGGACAAUGGAGUCUAUUUUAGCAGGUUGUUGACAUUAUGAUGCAAAUUCAUAUUUGAUAUUAUUCCUAUCUACCAAGAAUAAGUGCAGUUUUUUAUGUAGUUUUCUUUAUUGUUGUAAUAUGGGUUCCCCAGUGUUAUUGUACGUAGUAUGCUUAUGAAGUUUCGAGCUUUACUACUUGUUCUCCAUUACAGUGUUUUCUUUCCUGUUUUGUACUGAUUUUCUUGUGUUUAUAGAGGUGGGAUGUAGAGUCCUCGAGUAUCAUGGGUUUGAUGGUCCUUUUACUGUUAGAGGCCUUUGUUUAUACUUGAACUUGGCUUUUGAUGUCAGACUCAAGUAUCAAGAGAGAAAAAUGAGGAAAUUUCUCAAUUUUAGAGUUUAUUACAUGAAUUACUGCAGUCCUUGGAGAUGCCAACCUUUUGUUUUUUGACUUCUCAGAAAGUACUUGGAACUUAACUAUCGUGGAGUUGAUAUUCAGUAUUAUGCAGCAACAGCAGCAGAACCCCCCGCGAUUCCCGUUUAACUCGUCGAUGGUGAGUUCGUCCGGGCCCGGGCCCGGGCCGAAGCCGUUUUCAGACUAUGUAGAUGGUGGUGGGCAGUCGUCGCCGACCACUGGCGGUGGUAGUGGGCCUGGGGGUGGGUUUAACAUUGAACCUGCUAAGAAGAAGAGAGGCAGGCCGAGGAAGUAUUCGCCUGAUGGGGCUGGUAGUAGCAUUGCUCUGGGGCUUUCGCCCACCCCUGUUACUCCGAUUUCCUCCGCCUCUGUCGUGGGCCUCGCGGAUUCUGGUGGCGGCGGCGGUGGCGGGACCCUUUCAUCCGAGACUCCAGCUAAGAAGCACCGUGGCCGUCCCCCUGGCUCUGGAAAGAGACAGCUUGAUGCUUUAGGUGAUUUUUUAAUUACCCCUCUUCAUAUUACUCUGAUCAUUGGACUAAACCUCUUAUAGUUAUGAUGAUAGUUGUAGUUCUGAGCUUCUUCUGUUUAUUUCUUGCUAAAAGUUACAUUUUUAGAGUAUAAUGGAGUAAAAUUAUGAUUGUGGGGUUGGUAUUGUGGUUGGCAGGAGCUGCAGGAGUUGGGUUUACGCCGCAUGUUAUUACAGUGAAAGCUGGCGAGGUAAAUCGUGAAUGCGGUUCCUUCAAGUGUAAUUUGUCUGGGAGCUGUGUAAUUUGGCUCAUUGAUUAGUCUGUCUUGUUCGUGAUUUUUUUGCAUUGAAUUUGAGAAGAAAGAAAUAUUGAUCACUUUUAAGGAAAUAGCUCCUUUUUAUUGUCUUUGGCUCAUCUGGUUUAUACGAAGCUCAAUUAAGGAAAUAGAAAAGUUAUCUUAAGUGAGUGUGUAACUUAAAAAUCGAUUUCCUAAGUUGAACUGAGCCUUGCUGUCAAAUGCAAAUUCGAGGAGAAGUUUUGUUGGAGCCCUGGAAACGAUCACGUCAUUGACUAAUAAAUGAGCUAGAAAUGCUAAUGAGCUGUUUCCUUAUAUUUACGAAAGGUGGGAUACAAUAUGUAAAUUAGCGCAUGGUCCCAUUGCCUGGAGUGCUAGCAUCCUAAAUGACGUUUUUAUGCACAAAAUCUAUUAAAUAUGAAAUAUUAUUUCUCACCUACCGGACACUCUAAAUUGGUUCUGCAUUUCAAAGAUUUAUGCAUGUGAUGUUUUAAACUAAACUUUGAUCAUCCUACAUCACAAUGUCAAUUGAUUGAACUUUUCUGCUUCUCAACUGACUUAAUUUUUGAGGGUUGAAUUGGAUUUGCAUUACAUGUUUCCUAGUUGCAACCUGUGCCUUUAGGAAAUGAAUUUUUGAGUAUGUUUAAAGAGCCCCAAAGUAGUGAUGGUGUUAUCCUAUUCCAGUUGAUAUCAAUUAAUGAGAUUCAAGCUACAUCUCUACAGAGACAUUGACCGUGUAGAGACAAAGCUUUUGUUCUUCAAUUCGUAUUACCUAUGUUUCUAUGUGCACACUACAUCGUCGCAGAAUAAGGAGGGGAACAAAACAUGCACCAUGUAUAUGGAAAAUAUUUUACACGCCUUGAAAAUUAUUUAAAGUACUUAAAGUUGUACAUCUUACUAAUGUGAUCUAAAACUAUCUCUGGUAUACUUAUGAACACGGUUUUUGGCAACAUGAAGUUUGGUAAAAUAAUUAAUGCGAAAUUUGUCCUUUUGUUUUUAGUUCCCAAGGAAAAAACGGUUUUCGUUGUACUUGCCUGUAAAAUCGGUUCGCUGAAUCUCAUUGUUCUUGUUAUUUAUUGCUGCAUAAUUGCUAAUGUCCAACUUGACUAAAGAACUUUGAACGCCUUAUGCUUCUUAAACAUAAUUAUCAAAAUCUUGAGAAGACAGUUUUGCAAUUUAUUCCUGCUUAAGUUUCUUCUGUAUCAACUUGUAUUUUUAAAUGAGUUUAUCAUAGUAAUGGUUUAUUUUCAAUAUAUGUUGAAAUUAAUUUAUCUUUUGUUGAUUUUAAUUGUGUCUUGCAGGAUAUAGCAUCGAAGAUCAUGGCUUUUUCACAGCAAGGGCCACGUACUGUUUGUAUCCUAUCUGCAAAUGGUGCCAUCUGCAAUGUGACCCUCAGACAACCAGCAAUGUCUGGUGGCACUGUGACAUAUGAAGUGAGUGUGUUAAUCAAUUUCUAGGCUCCCAUGAUAACAUGUUUUACUGCUGUGCAUGUACCUUUGUGGCUGGAUGCAUGUACAGAAGGUCAUAAUUGCGCCAACUGUUGUGAUUGGGAUAUUAUCAGUUUCUAAUUUGUGGACAAUGGAGUCUAUUUUAGCAGGUUGUUGACAUUAUGAUGCAAAUUCAUAUUUGAUAUUAUUCCUAUCUACCAAGAAUAAGUGCAGUUUUUUAUGUAGUUUUCUUUAUUGUUGUAAUAUGGGUUCCCCAGUGUUAUUGUACGUAGUAUGCUUAUGAAGUUUCGAGCUUUACUACUUGUUCUCCAUUACAGUGUUUUCUUUCCUGUUUUGUACUGAUUUUCUUUGUGUUUAUAGAGGUGGAUGUAGAGUCCUCGAGUAUCAUGGGUUUGAUGGUCCUUUUACUGUUAGAGGCCUUUGUUUAUACUUGAACUUGGCUUUUGAUGUCAGACUCAAGUAUCAAGAGAGAAAAAUGAGGAAAUUUCUCAAUUUUAGAGUUUAUUACAUGAAUUACUGCAGUCCUUGGAGAUGCCAACCUUUUGUUUUUUGACUUCUCAGAAAGUACUUGGAACUUAACUAUCGUGGAGUUGAUAUUCAAAGCUUGCUCUUAUUCUAAUUUUUGUAAGCUUGACCUUUACUCAUAUAGUACCAAACUCUUUUUGUUUUCCCACCCUGAAAUAGUUGGUCUAAUAUACUUGCCCUGUAUGCUGUCUUUAUUCUCACACAAGUCCUACAUCUUCAUUCCCUUUCCAUGUCUUUUUGUUGGUAUUUUGGGGUUGAAUAUGUAAAGGUGUUGAUGGCUAGAGAUUCUGUUAUCCAAUUUUGGCAACCCUGAUAUGCAUUGAUCAGCGUUGCCCAGAUAACCCAGCUUGCUUUUUUCAGCUUGAGCUAUUGGUUAUGGAAUUCUCUUUUGCUCAUGCAUCGUUUCUUGUAGUCUUUGUUUUUGGGUUGAUCAGGUCAUGCUUUUCGCGAAAGUAUAUCUUAGGACAAAAGAUAGAAAGUAACGAUCAUCAAGCACUUGGCCUUGGUUCUAAGUAGACCCCUCUUCACCCACUCCUUAAAGCGUUAAAAAGGUAUAAGUUGGUGCCUUUUCGGUGACAAGUUGGUGUACUUUUGGUUUUCUCUCCCUAGUGUGGCCCAUGAUCUAUUCCAGCAUGUUGGUGCUGCAUGCUCUGCAUCUUUUCCGUCUUGCCCAAAAGCACACUUCAUUUGGGGAUGAUUUUUUCCUGUAAAAUAAACAUGGUCUGCAAUACAUGAUCCUUCAUAUAUGAAUUUUUACAUGUGCGAGUUUUUACAGAUUUUUGAUGAAUUGCCUGGAACAAUCUCAUCCUACCCUGUUACUUCUUUCGAUUUUCUAGCCUUUCUCUUUCUGAAAUAUUAUUCGCUAGUUAUAUCAGAUACUUAUAGAGUUUGAGACUUCUGCUGUUUACAAGUCUUGCUAUUUUGUAGUGGUCCAGUGUUUUCUGCCAAUUCAAGUCCUUGCCUUGUGUUUAAGUCUUGUGUGAUAAAGGGUAGGUAGUUUUGUUUGAUGAAAGCAAAGUAGUGAUAAUGAUCUGGUAAAUUUCUGAUCAGUUGGCUCCAGAUUACAUGAUGAUAUGCCAUGUGUUGCACUAACCCUCUUUCUAUCAUCCUGUUCCUUGCCUUUCCUUUGUGUAAUAAAAGUGAAGCUUGUUAAUCUACUUGGGUAAUUUUCAUUUGUGGGCUUGUGGUGAAGUGGGUGACACUUAAAUGUACUCAAGUUGGCAGCUAGUGUUACGUGACUUAAUACCUUCUUGUGAGCUACCCUUAUCUUCAAUAAAAUGGCAAGUCUUAGAGAUUUGCUCACUUUGUUUCUGAAAUUGUUCACUUCAAAUUAUUGAGAAAGUUACAACACCAAAUGUCACUCGGAGCCCAAAUACAAUGGUGCAAUGCCAAGCUUAUUGCAAAUAGGCUUGAAAUUGGCAAAAACUUGUAUUACUGUAGAGGUGUGAUAUACAUGGAAUAGUUGGGACAUGUUCAAGCAUGUAAUUUAAGUCAACUUCCUGAGGGAAAAAAGAGGGAGCUUUAUGGAGAUUUGUCGUUUUUGUUCAGGGAAAAAGCAUUCCUAUUUGCAUGGCUGAUGCUACACAUGUGCGUGUGCACACACACCCCAACUCAAAACAAAUUUUUUUUUUUUUUUUUUUUGGCAUCUGUUUGAAUUUUUUCAACAAGUUUUAUUGUUCGUUGUUUAAACUUAAGGCCACAUGAGUUUUGAAUUGUAUGCAAUUUUAGGGAGGUGAAGUGGAGAUACUUGUUUUACCCUUAUUGAAGUGUCAAAUGAGUCUUUGCAUCAUUGUCACCAUGGCGUGAGGUGUAUGAUAGUAUUAUAAGCAGGAAUAAAGCUGCAUAGGUUAGCUCUUUCAAGAAUUCUCAGCUGUUUUGCAUUUCAGAAGGAUGUUGAACUCAUAUUUUCUGCAAUGUGAGAUUCCUUUGUUUUAGCAUGAUAUUAUGGGUUUGAUACACAUACACUAGAACACUUCCAUUAGCAAGCACAAUAAAACUGAAUUUCGUAGACCUUACAAGGCUGUAGGCCAUUCCCUGCUUCUGUUUUCAUAGUGUUGCUUAAGUCUUAGAGCAUCUUACCCUAACUUGUUGACAUGCUAGUCUUUGUUUUUAAUGCUGAGCUAUAAGUAAAACUUGUAUUGAUUACAGAGUUACGAGUCUGUAUACUGAAGCAGUAUUAUUCCUUGUCACAGAAGUUUCUGAGGAAAAAUUGCAGUUUCUUUACAUAUGCAAUAUCUCAGUUUGUUUUCCACAUCUCAACUCACCAGAUAUGGUAAACUGGGUUUUGACAUGUCCUAUUGCAGUUCCCAUUGUAUUAUGUCUCUUCAAAUACAUUAGAAUGUCAAAUUCGUGAAAUUAAGAACCAGAUACUUGAAACUUAAAAACAGGAACAGAAAUUUCAGAAACAUGCAUGAGUAUACCUGUAAUAGUGCCUUAUGUUGAUCUUCUCGACUCUGUUAUUCUGCUUCAGUGUUGUUUGAGUGUAUAUGUUAGAGGUGGACCCUGGAGGAGAUGUGACUUAAUGUACUCUCAGUUAGGUUUAUGGUGUACUGGUGCUAGGUAACAUGUUGUAGUGUGUGUAUUACAGCCAAAUUGCUACCAUAAUGACUACCAAAGGUAUCUUUGCCAUCAUUUUUCUUUCUUUUUCCCCCUAC
Molecule: long non-coding RNA, 67404 nt
Filed under: Coffea arabica (coffee)
Lineage: Eukaryota; Viridiplantae; Streptophyta; Magnoliopsida; Gentianales; Rubiaceae
Description: long non-coding RNA (CARA_LNC005840)
Source: RNAcentral